UUUUUUUUUUUUUUUUGCGGGUUGCGGGGCGGGGGAUGGGGCGGGGGUAUACUUCCCGCCCCCCGCCCCGUUUCUAAGCGGGGGGAAAAAAUUCCCCCCGCCCCAACCCCGCCCCGUGAGUCCCCCGCAGGGCGGGCACCCGCGGGCACCCGCCCCCAUUGCCAUCCCUACCCCCAACUAAUGGUUGUCCUUAUCUUUUUUCGUUUGAAACUAUUUCUUGGUUUAUGUUCUCCUUGUUGAUUCAAAAAUUUUGGUACUAAUUUUGAGAAGGUUUGGACUCAAUUUGACAGUAAACUUUGGAAGUUGUGCCACCUUGGGUCUUUGCUUGCUUGAUGGCUCUUCAGUCAUUUUCGAAUAGAUUCAGUCUCAGUUAUGUAUUCACCCAAAAAAUGAAAAACUCAAGUCUAAUGAAGUAUUUUACUGACAAAAGCCAAUUGAUGGUGGCGGAAGGGGUGAUGCCAGGUGGCAGUGAUGGUGCUUGGCCAACCAUCAUGCUGAGAUACCUCUUUUGCAAACUAGAUAUAUUUUAGGGACUGGAUUGUAAUUAAUUUUUUGAUUGUCAAAGUAUUUGGGGCAUAAUAUUGAUUUAAAACAAUCUGUACGAUUCUUUAAAAUUGAUUAACAGUGCCAAUUCUCGAGUGACAAAUUUGCUAAAACUCGUUCUUCUUAUAGAUUUUCAUUCUUGCAAUUCCUGUAGGGCCAUAUCACGAUUUUUGACUAUUGUUUUUAGGAUCAAUUUUUUAUACACUGACAAUGUAUAUACUUUUACUAUUUGAUGCAUGACAUAUAAUUUGAAUUUAAAUUUAAAACCCAAGUUUUACAUAUGUGUCAUGUAUCCAACCAUGAUAAUAUAUAUACUGUCAGUAUAUAUAAAAAUUAAUUCUUGUUUUUAAUCUUCACCCAAUAAUUUUAUUUUGCCCGAUAAGGUUUGAUCUAAUGUCCUUUUUUUGUUAUGAAACAACUAAAAGUGCGGAUGGCCAUUUGUAUUCUCAAAAGGAAUAAUUCAUAAUUCAUUGAUUCCAAGAGGAUUAAUUCAUAAUUCAUUGCUAAAUUAUGUAAAGGAAUUACAUUGGAUGAACAGUUUCAAUCCAUAAGAGCUAUUCAUGUAUUGGAUGAACCGUUUCAUAUAGCUAUUCAUGUUCUUGUAGUAAUGAGUGUUUAAUAGAAUUGAUGUACCUUUAAUUUUGUAAUACCUAUAUAUAGAGGUACCUUGACACCUCUUGGGGUACUUUUUGAUUAGUUGGAAUAAUAAAAAAACCAUUCUCCAUUUCUCUAUUUUUUUUCUCUACUAUUUCAAUUCCUAUUAUAGUAGUCCAUUUUAUUAAUUUUACAAUACGUUAUCAGCACGAGUCUCUAAUUUUGAGCAAAAAGAUGAAAACAGAGUCUCUACCUUUAGUAAAAGUGAAACAGGAGAUUUUGUUGAAAUUCUGCCUGUGUUUUUUUAGCAACUUCUGUCUACUUUUUGAGGUAAAAUUUCUAACCCACAAACUUAUUUUAAUUCCUUAUGGCCAAUCUUACAAAAUAAGAGUUUGUACCUCUUGAUAUUUCUGAAAAAAAAAAAUUAUUUGUCAUGGGUAUUGGAUAUUGAAAUUCAUCUUGAGGCAAUGGGUCUUGGUAAUACUAUUGUUGAAAACAAUAAAUCUUCCAAGCAAUACCGUGCCAAGGCUAUGAUUUUCCUUCGUCAUCAUUUAGAUGAAAAUUAAAAAUAGAGUAUCUUACUGUCAAAGAUCUUCUUGUCCUUUGGAGAGAUUUGAAAGAAAGAUUCGAUCACGUGAAAUUGGUCGUUCUUCCCAAAGCCCGAUAUGAUUGGCAUCAUUUACGGCUACAAGAUUUUAAAUCUGUCAACGAAUAUAAUUCAGCCAUGUUCAGAAUUAUUUCUCAAUUAUCAUUAUGUGGUGAAAAAAUCACUAAUAAAGAUAUGUUAGAUAAAACAUUUUCUACUUUUUAUGUCUCUAACAUACUCCUGCAGCAGCAAUAUCGAGAGAAGGGAUUCCAAAAGUAUUCUGAACUUAUUACAUGUCUUCUCUUAGCUAAACAAAAUAAUGAAUUAUUGCUGAAAAAUCAUGAGUCCGACCACUGGUGCAAGUCCAUUCCCUGAAACGAAUGCGACUCAAUUUCAAAAUUCUGGUCAAUGUCAUGGAUGUGGCCGUAGAGGUGCCCGUGGAGGUGAUCAUGGUAGAUUUGUAUCUUGUGAAAAUUAUAACCGUGGCAAACAACAAAAAUUUUCCAAAAGAAGGAUAAUAACUACGAUAAAAAAAAUGAAGCAAAGAAAGUUUAUGAAGAAAAAUGCUACCAGUGUGAUAUGGAAGGUCAUUGGUCCCGUACUUGUCGUACGCCUGAUCAUCUUGUUGCCCUCUAUGAAGCAUCAUUGAAAAAGAAAGACAAAGGUAUUGAGGCAAAUUUCAUUGAUCAAAAAAAUGAUUAUGAUGAUACUAAUGAUGCUGAUAUGACACACCUCGAUGUAGCUAAUUUCUUUAAGCAUCCUGAAGAUGUCAACAAAUACCUUAUGAUUAUUUAGAUAUUUUAUAAUACUUUAUAUUUUUCAUGUAAUUUUCUUCUAUUCAAUAUUUAUUUUUGCAUCUUUAUUAAUAUUUAUUUUUGUUUGAAAUUUUCUUCCUAAAGAAGAAAUGUAUACCAAAUAUUUGGAAUUAAAUAAUGGUGAUGAUGACAUUUGUCUCAUUGAUAGUACUCUAUGCAUACUAUAUUGAAAAAUAAAAAAUAUUUUUCUUGUUUGAAAAUGGGAGAAACAAAUGUUAAUACCAUAAGUGGUAGUGCAAAAUUAAUUGAAGGCUCCGGAAGAGCCAUCUCUCUAAAUGGAUUAAAAUUGUCAUAAAUAAUGCACUACUCUCUCCCAAGUCUCGGGGAAAUUUAUUAAGUUGAAAGAUAUCCGAAAAAUGGAUAUCAUAACGAGACAAUGACUAAGACAAAUGGAGAAUUUUUAUUAAUCACAAGUAUCAUUUUUUGGUAGAAAUGUAUAGUAGAAAAAUUACCUUCUCUUUCUUCUGGCUUAUAUUAUGCACAAAUUAGUGCAGUUGAAAUUUAUCACCCAAUAGACCAGAAGUCUACUCAUCCCAAUGAUUUUAUGAUUUGGCAUGAUCGUCUCGAUUAUCCUGGAUCUAUAAUGAUGAGACGAAUAAUCAAGAAUUCACAUGGUCACUCAUUGAAAAAUCAAAAGAUAUUAAAAGCAAAUGAAUUCUCCUGUGUUGCUUGUUCCUAAGGAAAAUUAAUUAUUAAACCAUCACCAGUUAAAGUUGGGACUGAAUCCUCUAUAUUUCUAGAACGAAUUCAUGGUGAUAUAUGUAGACCUGUAGAUCCACCAUGUGGAUUAUUUCGAUAUUUUAUGGUGCCAAUUGAUGCAUCAACUAGAUGGUCACAUGUAUGUUUAUUAUCUACUUGCAACCUAGCAUUUGCGAAAUUGCUUGCUCAAAUACUUAAGCUGCAAGCACAAUUUUCAGAUUAUCCAAUAAAGAAAAUUCGUCUAGAUAAUGCUGGCGAAUAUUCAUCACAUACUUUGACGAUUAUUGUAUAUCCAUUGGAAUAACUGUUGAAUAUCCUGUAACUUAUGUUCAUACACAAAAUGGUCUAGCCGAAUCAUUUAUUAAACGACUACAAUUAAUUGUUAGACCAUUGUUGAUGAGGUCUAAACUUCAUUCAUCUGCUUGAGAACAUGCUAUAUUACAUGUAACAAACUUGUGAGAAUUAGAUCGAAAAGUUAUCAUACUUAUUCUCUCCUACAAUUAAUUUUUUCAUGAAUCCAAUAUUUCUCAUUUAUGAAUAUUUGGUUGUGCAGUUUAUAUUUCAAUUGCACCGCCCCAACAUCGUAAAUUGGGCCCUCAAAGAAGAUGGGGAUAUAUGUCGGUAUGAAUCACCUUCAAUUAUUAAGUAUAUGGAGCUAUUGACAGGUGAUUUAUUUACUGUGAGAUUUGCAAAUUGUUAUUUUGAUGAAUGACAUUUUCUGACAUUAGGGUGGAUAAAAUUCAACUGAAAAAGGAAAUCACUUGAAAAAUAUCAUUGAAUUUUCUUGAUCCUCGUACUAAAGAAUGUCAACUAGAAUUCAAAAAAUUAUACAUUUGCAAAAAUUACAAAUCAAUUACCGGAUACAUUUAAUGACUCCAAAAGAGUUACUAAAUCACAUAUUCCUGCUGAAAAUGCUCCGAUUAAAAUUAAUGUCCCUGAAAGAUAAAUUAUAAGUGCUAAUGAAUCUAAAGCGCGCCUAAAGCGUGAGAGACCUCUUGUUCCAAAGAUAAAAAUUCUCGAAAGAAAAGAGGAGUAGAUGAAUCACCAAUUAGUGACAAAAUUCAACCUCCUGAAGAGAUCGCUCUUAAAGAGCCAAUUCUUGAAGAGAAUGAAAUUAUAGAAAAUUCAAUAAAUUUGUCACUUCAAGAAAAAGUUGGAACCGAAAAGAAAUAAUUAUUGAUAGUAUUUUUGCAUAUAAUGUAGCACUUGAUAUUAUGGUAGAGGACGAGAAUCACGAGCCUUGAUCUGUUGAUGAAUGUCGACGUAGAAAUGAUUGGCCAAAAUGAAAAGAUGCGAUCCAAUUUGAAUUGAAUUCACUGACUAAAAGAAAAGUUUUUGGACUUGUAGUUCAAACACCUGAAGGUGUUGAACUAGUAGGAUACAAAUGGGUAUUUGUGAGAAAAAGAAAUAAGAAAAAUGAAAUUGUGAUGUAUAAAGCAAGACUUGUAAUCCAAGAAUUUUCACAAAGGUUUGGAUUUGAAUAUGAUGAAACGUAUUUACCUGUAGUGAAAAGAUGCGAUCCAAUUUGAAUUGGAUUCACUGACUAAAAGAAAAGUUUUUGGACUUGUAGUUCAAACACCUGAAGGUGUAAAGCUAGUAGGAUACAAAUGGGUAUUUGUGAGAAAAAGAAAUAAGAAAAAUGAAAUUGUGAUGUAUAAAGCAAGACUUGUAAUCCAAGAAUUUUCACAAAGGUCUGGAUUUGAUUAUGAUGAAACGUAUUUACCUGUAGUGGAUGCCAUCACAUUUAGGUAUCUUGUGAGUUUUGUAGUACAUGAAAAACUAGAUAUGCGUCUAAUGGACGUUGUUAAUGUAUAUUUAUAUGGAAAUCUUAAAAAUAAUAUUUAUAUGUGAAUUUCCAAAGGAUUCAACAUGCCUGAAACAUGCAAAUCAAAUUCUAAAGAUAUUUAUUCUAUUAAAUUACAAAGGUCUUUGUAUGGGUUCAAACAAUCUGGACGUAUGUGGUAUAACCACCUCAAUGAAUGUUUAACUAAAAAGGCUAUAUUAAUGAUCCAAUGUGUCCAUGUAUUUUUAUAAAGAAAAAUGGAUCAAAUUUUGUGAUUAUUGCUGUAUAUGUUGAUGAUCUAAAUCUGAUUGGAACUCCUGCAAAGAUUCAAAAUAGUGUUGAAUAUUUGAAAAAGGAAUUUGAGAUCAAAGAUUUUGGAGAGACAAAAUUCUGCCUUGGUUUACAAAUUGAGUAUUUAAAAGGUUAAAUUUUUGUCCACCAAACUGCUUAUACCCGGAAGGUAUUAAAGCGAUUUUAUAUGGAUAAGGCACAUACAUUAAAUAUCCCAAUGGUCGUCAGAUCACUAGAUCUUAAUAAGGAUCCUUUUAAACCACAAGAGAAAGAUGAAGAGACACUUGGUUCUAAAAUAUCAUAUCUCAAUGCAAUUGAUACACUAAUGUAUCUUGCUAAUUGUACAAGAUCUGAUAUAUCAUUUGCAGUGAAUUUAUUAGCAAGAUUUAGUUCCUCGCCCACAAGACGACAUUGAAAUGGUAUUAAACAUAUUUGUCGCUAUCUCCAAGGAACAAUUGAUUGUGGUUUAUUUUAUUCAAAUAAAUCCAAACCUGAAUUGCUUGGUUAUGCAGAUGCUAGGUAUUUAUCUGACCUGCAUAAAGCAAGAUCUCAAACUGAUUAUCUAUUUACAUAUGGAGUUACAACCAUUUCUUGGUGAUCUACAAAACAAUCAUUAGCCGCUACUUCAUGAUGAAAUAAUAGUAAUUCAUGAGGCCAGUCGAGAAUGUGUUUGGUUAAGAUCAAUGACCCACUACAUCCGAAAGAGUUGUGGGUUAUCCUGUGAAAAAAAAAUCCUCCAACUAUAUUAUAUGAAAAUUCCUUCACUAGGAUUUUUCCCAUUAGAUUUUUCCCUAAUAAAGUUUUAACGAGGCAUAUUCUUUGUAUAAUGAACCUCCAGGGGGAGUGUUAUGAAACAACUAAAAGUGUGGAUGUCCAUUUGUAUUCUCAAGAGGAUUAAUUCAUAAUUCAUUGAUUCCAAGAGAAUUAAUUCAUAAUUCAUUGGUACAUUAUGUAAAGGAAUUACAUUGGAUGAACGGUUUCAAUCCAUAAGAGCUAUUCAUGCAUUGGAUGAGCCGUUUCAUAUGCCUAUUCAUGUUCUUAUAGUAAUAAAUGUUUAAUAGAAUUGAUGUACCUUUAAUUUUGUAAUACCUAUGUAUAGAGGUACCUUGGCACCUCUUGGGGUACUUUUUAAUAAGUUGGAAUAAUAAGAAAAUCAUUCUGCAUUUCUCUACUUCUUUCUCUAAUAUUUCAAUUCCUAUUAUAGUAGUUCAUUUUAUUAGUUUUACAACACUUUUCUCUCUGCUAAGUUUUAGAAUCAGGCAUAUCAGUUCUUUUUUAAUAGGUUUGGUUAAGUAUUUAAUAGUUGACUAGCUUAACUCAUUUUAAAAUGUCUAUCAAGACAAUGUUCAUUUUCCUCACAAGAAUUAGUUUAAGGUUUAUCUGGCACUUCUUGAUUGUACAAAGUUCUCAAUUUUCCCACUUUAGUGGUUUGAGUAGAUUCUGAAUCGUUGACUAGUUUUUUUUUUAUCUGAUGGAAUCGUUGACUAGUUCAAACAACAAAGAUUGAUAAAGAAACUAUUUCAACAAGUUUUAUUUAACUAUAGGGAUAAUUUCAGAAACCUCCCCUAAUGUUUCUAACAAUUUCAUUGAGCUCUCUUGAGGUUUUCAACAUUACACUUAUCUCCCUUGAUGAUAGAUAAUGACUAUAAUAAUGACGAAAGUGGGGUAUGCAUAUAAUAAUUAAUCUCAUUUCACAGUCAAAUUUUAUAUUUAUAAAAUUCUAAAUAUCCCACACGUGAUUUUCUGCAAGUAUAUAGGUCGUGAUUGAAUAUAGGGUAUUAAAGGUCGAAUCCACAAGGAAGAAUGGAUAACUAUCGGUACUACUAAAACUCCUUUAUUAUUUAGACUAUCAACAAAUUAAAAAAAUAAAACUAACCUAAAAUGUGCAGGAAAAUAGCAAAUAAAAACUCUUUAGACUAUGGUAUCCCUAACUAUUCAUACAAGUGCUAUUCCUGGAUCACUUAGUACUACUAUUUUGACUAGUUAUGACACAAUUUCCUCAAGCAUUUUAAAUAUACUCUCGUAGCGAAUCAACUAUACUUAUAACUAAUUUGUGCCUACUCUCGUGGUUAUGAAAUUAGUUACAAGUCAAUUAUCUCAAUAAAAUUAUAUGAAAUGAAUCACUAAAAUCACAUAAGUGCACCUCUACCCUCGUGAGUACACUCCUUAGGUUUAGCACUUCUUGAACUAGUGUUAAAUCCCAAUUUCAUUGAAGAAACAACACCUUUAGAUAAUCACAAUUAAUGGUACCAAGUUAAUCAUGAUUUAGAGGAGCAAAAGUACUAAAUAGUAUCAAAUAGCCGAAAUAUUACCACAAUACAAUUAUAGAAAGUUCAACCAAAACUCAAGGUAUAAACUUUAGAAAUACAUAACAAACAUAAAAUCCAAAACUUGCAUAGUAAUUAAACUUAGAAUCAAUUACAAAAGAUAAAGAGUUGGGAAGGUAGAGUAACCCUUGUCAUUUGAGUUCUCUCCUUGCCUUCUUCAUCUACGUCUUCAUCCUGAUCUAACCAAUAUAUAAGAGUGGAUAACACACAUUUCUACCUAAACUAUACUAUACUACCUAAAACUAAAAAAGAGUAGGAGCUACAUUUUUGUGGUGUAUUCUUGCACCUCUCCAAGCUCUCCAAAAUAAAGACACAAGCUCCUAUUUAUAGAGAAAAUUUCAAAUCAUUCACUUGUAUCUUCAAUGUGAACACAACUCCAAAUAAGUCAACAAUUUUGGCUCCAAGUUAUGUGUCAUCAUUAUAGAAGAAACAAAGUCAUUAAUGGUUGGUAGAAUAUCCCUUUUACAGUUGCAAAUCUUGUACAAUUUGUACCUUAAGAGUUGUGAAAGAAUGGAGUAGAAAACAAGUUACGCAAGUGGAAGCUGUCAAGUUUGACCGGAAUCCCUCUAGGCAAUCCAUCCAAGUUUUGGCCUGAUUCCUUGGAGGGAUUGGUCCCUUGCUUCACCAAAAAUUCUCUGCCCCAAAUCCCUCCAACCAAUCCCUCCAAAAUCUGGCCAGAUUAUUCGGAGGGAUUCGAGUCGACUUUCGUUUUUGACAAGUUUCUUUGUUUUCUUUUUCUAGCGACUCGAACCACUUUUGAAACUCAUCGUCCUUAUGAACUUUAGGACUUUAUUCAUCAUAUUGUAAGUCUAUUUCUUGUCCCAAAAUGAAGUCCAUUUUCAACUCCUACAAAAUUAACCAAAAAUAUACAAGUAAAAGGGACAAAUAUCUCAUUUAAGCAUUGAAUUGCACUUAGAACCAAUUCUUGCAAAUAUUGAACAUUUUCUUCCUAUAAUAUUGAAAAAGUGACUAAAAAUAGAAUAGAAUUUAAUCCAAAUAUAGCACAAAAUAGUCACUUAUCAAAUAACCUUCAUAAUUCUUCAAAAGACAAGCUAUUGAUAAAAAAAGGAAAAGAUAACAGAAAAAAAGAAAACAAUUCUUCUUAACCAGAUCAUAUAUUGUGGCCAAACUAUUUCAGGCAUGGCCAUUAUAUUGUAUCCUUCAAUCACUCAAAUAUGCUAAUCAAGAUAGAUGUCUUAUUCUUUCUAUCACUCAAAUAUCCUACUGCUAUUGAUAAUGAUGGAAGCAAUCACCACUGCCAACAACCCAAUUGUUCAUAUCAUUGAGCACAAAAAAGCUACUGGAUUACGGAAAAGUAUAUUUUGAUAGAUUGUACUAAAAUUAUCACCCCAAACUUGCACUUUGUUGAUGUUUUGCUUGGUUUCUCUUAAUAGAAAUCAAACUUAUUCUGAAUAAAAUUGUGUCAAUUUAGAGAAAAAAAUGUGAGCUGAUUUAAGAUGACUAACCCAAAUGUUGAGAGCAGAGGUUAGAAGAAUUUUGGUAACUGAGGGCUUAGCUGUUUGAGUGGGGAAAAGGUAAAAUUGUGAAUUAAAUGACUAAUGGUUUGGUAGACAAUAUAUGGAAGAAAUCUAUAGAGAGGUAAAGAUCAUGAAGAUAAGAAUUACGAUGGUGGAUUUUGGCAUUUAAGACAAAGAGUUUGUUCAGAAGAAUAAGAAAUUAUAAGAGUUUGAAAGUUUGGGUGGAUGUAGAAAACUAUGGGGAUGGAAAAUAUCAAGACAUUGGUUAAGCAAUAAAACUCAUAAUUUUGGUAGUAUACAAGUGUAUUCUUGACUUUUAAAAAAUUUUAAUGAUUAUUAAUAUUAAGGAAAUUUAGAUGAGGGCAAUUUUGAGCAAUCAUAUACUUUUUUGGUCUUAUAUCAUCAAGAUGAAACCCAAACCUAUGUUCUAGGAGAGAUAAGAGUAAUUUUCAAAACGUGAGAGGAACUGUCUGAAAUUACUAGAAACCUCAAGGGAGGUUUCUGAAAUUAUCCCUUAAGUAUAUUGUGUUCUAACUUACUGUUAUGUGUAUUGUCCUUAAUAUUAUGGGGUCAAUCAAAUUAUUCAAGUUCUAAUGACAAGUUUCAUGAACUGGUUAAACUAUGUAUACUUUAUAUACCUAAAUAAAGGCAUACAAAGCAAUACAUGGGAAUUUCUAUGUAUUUUAACCUUUUUAUCAAACCUUUAAUAUCAAAACCUAUUAUCCUCUCUAUAAUAUCAACUAUACAACAAUAUUAAAUUGACAAAAGCAAAAAAAUUGCUUUUUAUUAAUUUUACUUAAAUGUUUGUCUUAUUUAUAUUGGAUGAUGUGUGUGUGUGUAUGUAUGUAUAUAUAUAUAUAUAUAUAUAUAUAUAAUUUUAGGUUUAUUGGACUAAUGAUGAUUACAUAGUAAUAGCAAUAUUUAAAAUUAGCAAAAUUUGGAUUAAGUUUGUUUAAAUUGUUUGAAUGAUACAUAAUUAAAAGAGGGCUAACUUACCUUAUUUCUAAUCUUAAAGGAGAUAGACAGCCACUAAAUAAAAUCUCAAGGGGCAAAUUAGAAAUUACCAGACCUAAAUUUGGUUUGAAGGAACCAUUUGAGAAUCAAUUUAUGAGUUGAGGAACUUAAUAGAUAUUUUUAAAAAUUGAGACCAAAUACAAUAAUUUUUGGGGACUACUAGGGUUGUUUAUCUAAGGCUGUCAAUCAAGUCUUGUGAGCCAAGUUUUGACAAGUGCAAGUUGAACUCACAGAAAAAAUAACAUUUUUGGUCUUUUGGACUCUAGGCUUGUAAUUUGGGACUCAUACUCGUCUCACAAAGAGAUUAAAAUUGUGGGCCCAGUUCAAAAUGGAUGCAAGCUCACAAUUAACUCCAAAUGUCAUGUAUAAUAUGUGUACAAUGUUAAAUAUUAUUAUCCAAUAACAUAUCGAUUACAAUAUGUGUGAUGAUAACAUAUAUAAUUAUUCAAUAUACACAUCGUUGUACAUAAAUAAUGUAUUUAUUCAUAUAUAUUUUUCGAGCUAGGUUAUGGUUUUGAGCCUAAUGAAACCUAUGCUCAACUCAGAGUUUAAUCGGUCUUAUAUUUAGGUCUAAAUUCAGCCCAGUCUGAUAAUACAUAAUGUUCAAGUCCAAAAUGUUUUGUAUCCAACAAGCUAAACUUGAACCAACCCGAUCUCAUUGAUAGACUUACGUUUAUCAUUUAAUUAAUUUUGGGCCUCAGCAACUAAAGCAAAGGUUAAAAUAAAAGAGAGUACUCAUAAUAGAAAAAGAGAGAAUUUGGCAUAAAAAUAGUACUGAGGAUAUAAAAAUUUUAGGGUUAAUUACAUUUACCUCCCUUAAAAUUUGACCAAAUUAGCAAUCAAAUAUUGAGGUUUGACAAAAUAACAGUCAAACCUUUUGACUGAGAAAUCUUUAUCAAAAGCAUCCCUACCAUCUUGAGUCAUUAGUUUUUUUUUAUUUUUUAAGAGAAGAAAAAGUUUGUCAUUGCAUCAAUUAAGAUGAUCUCGAAUUAUUAGUGAAGCGCGGUACGGUCAGUAAAAAAAUUAGCAUGAUAGUCCCUGAUAAGUGUGUAUUUUACAUGUUUUAAGUGUGUUUUAUCAUUUAGUUUUAGUAUGUUUUAUUUAGUUUUAUAGCUAAUUAAUUAAGUUUCUAGUGAAAAUAUACAUUUUGUGGUUUAAAGUAUCAAAAGUUUCUCUGGAUUUUAACAAUGAAAACUUCAUGUUUUUUUAGGUUUAAUGAUUCAAUCAUCAAAUGGCAUGAAUUAAGAAGAUAAUUCGAUGAUUGAUGAUGGUUUGAAGUGAUAAAAAGAAAAUAUGAAGUACAAGAGAUGAAAUGCAAUUAAGGAAGUUUUAUAGCUUUGACACCUUGUGGUAUUUUGGCUAUAUCUUGAGUUACAAGGAUUAGAUUGAGGUGAUUUUUCUACCAUUGUGAAGUUAAGAGAGAGAUCUACAUUUGAUAUGAAGAUAUUGAAGUCCAUUUUAGUCGUUUUCAUUGUCAAAAAGUCGAAAUACAGAAGUGCAUUUUUAUGGUCAAAAACUAAAACGGAGUUCUGACCAAUUGAGGGUAUUUUGGUCAUUUUUUGGUCUACAGAGCUCCAAAUUGGAUGAUGUUUGAUGCAUUGGAAAGCUAAUGCAAAGGGCUACAACUUUCAUGAUUUGUAUAAGAGUUAUUGUAGCUUCUAUCAUCAAGAAAAUAUCAGUUGAAAUUGGACCAAAAAUAGAGCAAGGAUGAAAUUUGUCCAGAAUUGAGCAACCUGCAAAAGGCAAUAUGUGGGAUACAAUACGCGACCUAAAGUUGCGUUUUCAAAGACGCGUAUUCAUCAUUUUCAGCUGCAACUUGCUCUGCAACUUGUUCUUUCCAACUCAAUUCCAGUAAGUAAUUUUGGCUAUACAUGACCAAGAAGAGUGUGGAAAGUUAGAGAACCAACCUUUGGGAGUUUCAAGAGCCAAGAAUGACAACUAGAAACAAUUCAUUUGUGGCUUGAAUCUCUCUAUAAAUAGCAGCCUUUGGAGACCAUUUUGAAAACUUUGGAAGGUUGGAGAAACUCCACAAAAAUGUAGUCUUAACUAGUUUUUUUAGUUCAUUAGUAUAGUGUAGUUAGAGUAGGUUAUCAUUCUUGUAUUUGUAGCUAGAUUUGGAUGAAGAUUUAAAAAGCAAAGAUGGAGAGUUGGAUCUUGUGAGAACCCGAAAAUUUUCACAUUUUCUAGACAUUAUUUUAUUUUUGCCUAUAUUUUUUUACUUGCCUUUAAAAUAUUAAAGUUUCUAUACAUUUUUAUAAGUAAGUACAAUUUUAAAUCAUUUUCCUAGUGUACGUUAAAUUUGAAGUGCAUUAUAGACGUGGGACCUGCUAGUGCGAUAAAAUUUUGGUGACUAAGUGAUUUUUGUGCUAAAUGUUAUUAUUUUAUACGGUGCUAGGAGAUGAUUAGAGGUUAGCUAGAUAGAUUAACCAUUGGGAGAAGGAAGAUAAGUUUAAAACAUUCAAGGUGCCACGUGUCACGACCCGAUUGGAAGUUGGACUUGACCAAGACUUUCUCACCUUUACUAAACCAAAAUUUGACCAAAAAUUCCUUUAUUUUUCUUGCUUCUUGGCCGGCUGUUUUGAGGAGAAAAACAAGAAGAGAAACUUCCUUUUCUAGCUUCCAAACUUGCUCAAAUCUUGAGUUUUAGCCAACCAAAUUGGAAACUACACCAUAUAAGUGCUCACUAAGGAGGUUUAAAGGUUUUGGUGGAGUUAUUUUGGAGGAGGAAGAUCUAAGCUACCAUUUUUCCUUGUGGUCAUAAGGUAUAUUGUCAAGAAAAUCCUUCUUUACUUCUAGUAAUGGCAUAUUAGUGGUUUAGAAAUGAGAAAUAUGUAGUUUUAUGAGGAAUAUUGUGAUUUGAAGUAAUGAUUGAGGAAUUUUCAGUUUUCUUAGAGAAUUUUCUGUCCUCAUGUGAUGAUUAAUGGUUGGCCAUGAUUUAUUAGCUUUGAUAUGUGAAAAAUCUAGUGUUUUGGUGUUAGUUUAAUUUGCCUAAAGGAAUUUUCAGCUUGGGUGUUAAAUUUCAGCUUUAGUAGAGAAUUCUGCCCUGUUCUGACCAGUUUCAUUCGGCCAUGAUGGAGGCCGAAUUGGGCUUAGUUUAAAACAUGAAAGUUGUAGAAAAUGAUGUUUUAUAGCUGCCUGUAAAAUUUCAGCUCAAUCAGAGCACUGUAUCACAUGAAAUGACAAAAAUACCCUUGACUGCCAUAGGUAGAGUUUUGCGGACAGUUUUGACAUUUCAUCAUUCUGGCUUCGUUUUUCACCUUGAUCAGUAUUAAAUCAGCAGUUGGCCAAAACAUGAAAGUUGUAGUCUUAUGUUUUUAGCUUUCCAACGCAUCUGAAAACGCCUCAAUCGGACUUGUGUAGCCUGACUUAUUGUCAUUUGAACCCAGUGCUGUUAUUCAGCCUGACAGUGAAAUUCUGGUUCUGUAAUCUGUAAAUUCGACCUGGAUAAACUGUGAACCGGGCUGAGUUGUCUUCAUAAAAGUUGUAGCCCUUUGUCUUAGCUUCAAAACGGUAUAAAUUGUACCCCAAUUCUAUCAGCGUAACUUUGGUUGUGACCGAUACGCUAAGAGACGUCAAACCUGUCAUUUUGUUCUUUACCUUAAACCUUAUUUCAGGUCACUUUUCUAGCUUGGUUUUGUAAUGGAAUGACUUUUAGCCUAUUGAACAGUUAUUGUAAUGAGAUUAUUUGUGGGUGAUUUUGGGGGCUGAUUGAGGAAAAUAAUGAAGCCAUAAAUGGCUGAAAAAUAGGUAAAUACAAAGGGCACGCUGCCCAAAUUUGCACUCGAGAGCUAGGUAGAUAUACUCGCGACUUGAGUAAGGGUUGAGGAUGAAACUAACUUGAAUCAUCUAAGGUAUUCAAAUCUUCUUUAUUAGAGGUAUAUAAGUUAGAAUCUGGCCAAAACUUGUACCCUUGGAAAAUGAAAUUUACGACUAAUAGAAAUACGUUUUCUUCAUUUCUUCGACUCAAAUGGAGCUUUCAAAGUUUUACGAGUGAGCAUAAGUUUUACAAAUAUUUUACACAUGGCCUUUGGUUUAAAUGUACUCUUUUCACUUCCAAAACUAUACUUAUACUUUGCACUAGUAGUUAUUCGGAUUUUCUUUGGUUCACCUAAACUUUGGAUGGUAACUGUAAUAUUUUCUCUUGGUUAUUAUUAGGGUUCUUUGGUGAUUGAGGGUAUUAUCCAGAAAGAAACUUUGGACGUUAUUUUGCUUAAAUAGGUGAGUGUUCUUUGUACGUUAUGUUUCCAAUGACUAUGUGGAUUGUUGUGACUAUGUGACUAUUUGUGAAUGUUGGAUUAAAUGUUAAAUGUUUUCAAUGAUUUCUAAAAAUGAAUUUUGCUAGGCGAGUGUGUACUUUAUCGCACUCGACCUAAAUGAAUAUGAAAUUUACAAUGAUUAAAUGAUUAAAUGUUUAAAUACUACUUGUACAUGAAUGUAAGCCUUUUUGGCUGAAUUGGGCCCUUGCCCUUUGUUGCCGGUCGACUCGAGCCAGAAGCGGAUUCGAUCGGGCGAUUGGUGACCCUGGGUUAAUGUUUGGUAUACUCGAGUCUGACCACGAAGUCUGGUGGAGAGUGGCCAAUGUCCAGUAGGGGGAAAAUGAAAUGAAUGAAUGAAUGGCAAGAACAAUGGAGGGGUUUUCACUUACAAAUAUAAUUUUUAAUGACUGAAGGAAUAAGGAAAUGAUUGGUGGAAGGAAUGAACGAAGGGCUCCACGUGAGCAUGUAUCCUUUUAAUGAGUGUGUUAUCAUUGCUUUAUAUUGUAAAUGUUUUCUGGAUUACUUGUUAUUACAUGAUUAAUGUCCUUGUUUAAUUACUUGGCUAUGUGUAUGGAACCUCACUGGGCUUUUAACUCAUUCCGUUAGUUUGUUUUCCUUCCAGGGGAUGAGAGCGAGGGCGGUGAGAUUUGUGCAGACUAGCCUGGACUAGUUCUUUUGAAUUUUUAUUUUUUUUCGAUUUUCUCGCGCUAGUGCUUGGUUAGGGUUGGAUGUAUUGAGGAUUUAAAGCUUUUGUUGUAUCUAGGACUAUAUAUUUUGGUUGAGAUUGAAAUGAAUGUAAGUAUACGUUUCAAAUUUGAGAAUUGUUAUUUCACUUCCUCGAGGUUAUAUCUUAUUUUGUUUGAGGAAAGCGUUUGAGUCCUGGCGAGAGUUAGGCAGGCUGUCCGCCGAACCCUUUGGUUCGCCUUAAGGGGAAGUGGAGCUGUCACAGAUCUCAUGUGACAAGGGUGACUUCUCUCCUAUCACUUUAUCUUUUGUAUUUGAUUUCAUGUUUAACUAUAAUACAAGUUUGAUGUUUGUUUUCAUAUUGGGCUAAAGUUUAUGCCUAGAAUUAUGGAUGAACUUACUAUAUCUUGUUAAUGAUAUUUAUUUGGUUAUUUGAUGAUAUUAUUUUGAGUAAGUUAUUUAUCAAUUUUGGUUUUCUAAUCAUGAUUAACUGGCCAUUAAUUGUGAUAAUAUUAAGAUGUUAAAUUUGUAAUGAGAAUUGAGAUUUAACACUAGUUCAAGGAGGUGAUAAACUAGUACACUCACGAGAGUAGAAAUACACCUAUAUAUGUGGUUUUAGUGACUUGUUUCAUAUAAUUUCAUAGAAGGAAUGAGCUUGUAGUAAUUUCAUAACCAUGAGAGUAGGUAUGGCUUUGUUACAACUAUAGUUAGUUCACUACGAGAGUAGGUUUCAUAUACAUUAGGAAAUUAUGCCAUAACUAGCCACGAUAAUAGCAUUCACUUAACCGGUAAUGUCAUUUGCAAGAGUAGUAAGGAAUUCCAUACUUCUAGGAACUUUUUAUUGUAUUUUUGUUACUUUUGUAGUGUAGAUUUAAUUUCUUGUACUUGUAAUAGUCUAAAUAAUAAAGGAGUUUGAAAACUACUGGUAAUUGACAAUCUUCCCUAUGGUUUCGACCCUUAAUACCCUAUACUCAAUCACGACUCAUAUACUUGUGAAAAAAUCACGUGUGGGGUAUUUAGAAAUUAUAAAUGUAAAAUUUGACUGUGAAUGAUCUUAAUUUUUAUAUGUAUACCCUUCACUCGUCAGUCCCAAAAUGCCUUUAUAGAGGCCAUGGUUCAUCAAACACAUAUUGGCAUAUCGCUUACAUAAAAUAUAUAAACCAACAAAUUGAAUAAAAUAAGAAUUUACCUCAAAAUAAUAAAAAGAAAAAGGAAAAAAUGUUUCAAGUUUGCAAAUUCAAUGUUUACAUCUCGCCAAAAUUGUAUGCUAAUUUGCAUCCAACUGUUCACCCUUCUUUACCGUCAAUUCCAUCACAUAUUCUAAUUCCUCCUUCAUCUUUUCUCCUUCUCCAUCUUUCUAAACCAAAGUCGUUGCUUUUUCCUCUUCUAUCCAAUUUUAAGAACAUAUGAGGAUACGCACCAGACUUGGUAGACAAAUUUCUAGGAAAUCAUUUGCAGUUGCUUAGAUACAUAAGUGAAACUAUUAUCUUCAAAAAGUGUUGGCUAUUGGAUUUGUGAUUUUUUCUAAUUUUUUGUAAUUUGAGAUUUGGAAGUUUGUCCUUCAUAUCAUUUGAAAGGCUUGUCAUAAAUUUGUUAGGUUUAUUGGAUAAUUUUUUUGUUUUAUCCUAGUCUUUAGGGAUUUAGUUGUUUGCUGAUUUUUUGUUAAGAUUAAGUAGUCACAACUUAAUUGAGAAAAUCAAGGUGUAGUUAUAGCAAAAAACUUUCUGCAAGUUUGUUUUGUAAUUGCCUAUAUAAAAGCUCUAGUGUUGAUGAAUAAAAUACAAGAAAUCCCCCUACUUUCUUCUGCUUCUACUUCUUCUAACAAAAUUUGGUAAGAGAUAGGAAAAAGGCUUGUCUUAAAUUUGGUAAUAGAUAGGAAAUAGGUAGUUAAAGAAGGUAAUAUAGUAGCUCGUGAUUAAUCUUCACUCGCAAUUUUUUCUUUUAUUUUCUUUAUUCUUUUCAAUUUUGAUGUUAAAACUUGCUAUCCAAAAAAUGGAAGCAGCCAACAUUAGGUCAUUUGACUUGUUCAUGCUCUACCUCGAUGAGAAGUGCUUUCCUACAAAUAUCAUGGAAUUUGGUCUUUGUUUCAAAAGGAAAAAGAAAAGUGACGUGUGUGGGAUAUGUAUAUAAUAAUUAAACUCAUUUCACAGUCAAGUUUUACAUUUAUAAAAUUCUAAAUACCCUAAACGCGAUUUUCUGCAAGUAUACGAGUCGUAAUUGAGUAUAGGGAAUUAAGGAUCGAACCCACAAGAAAGAUUGUCAAUUGCUGAUGGUUUUCGAACUCCUUUAUUAUUUAGACUAUCACAAAUGCAAGAGAAUAAAUCUACACUAUAAACAUGAAAUAAAAGUAAUAAAAAUAACAAUAGAAAGCUCCUAAGAGGUAUGGAAUUCCUCACUACUCUUGCAAAUAAAAUUACCAAUUAAGUGAUGGCGAUUAUCUUGCUAGUUAUAGCAUAAUUUCCUAAUGUAUGUGAAACCUACUCUCGUAUUGAAUCAACUAUACUUGUAGCUAAACCAUACCUACUCUCGUAGUUAUGAAAUUAACUACAAAGUCAUUUCUUUUAUAAAAUUACAUGAAACAAGUCACUAAAGCCACCAAAGUACACCUCUACUCUCGUGAAUGUACUCCCUAGGUUUAUCACUUCCUUGAAUUAGAGUUAACUUUCAAUUCUCAUUGCAAACUUAACACCUUAAGAUUAUCACAAUUAAUAGCCGAUUAAUCAUGAUUAGAAAAAUAAAAGUGAUAAAUAACUUGCUCAAAAUAAUAUCAUCAAAUAACCAAGUAAAUAUCACGAACAAGAUAUAGAAAGUUCAUCCAUAACUCUAGCCUUAAACUUUAGCAAAACAUGAAAAAUAUGAAAGAAAAGACCAUACUUGUAUUAUAACUAAAUAUAAGAUUCAAAUACAAGAGUUAAAAAGUUGAAGAGAUGGAACCCUUGUUACAUGUGAGCAACAUCUUCUCCAUCUUCAAAUCUCAAUCAUCAUUCUUGGUUAGCAUGAUACAAGAUCGAAUAAAACUAUACUAACCUACCUAAACUAAUGAAUUAAGAAAAACUAAUGAAGACUACAUUUUGGUAGUGUUUCUAGCCUCCAAAGUUAUAAAACAAGCUCUCCAAAAGCCCUAUUUAUAGAAGGAAUUUGUGCAAAAGAAAAAAUAUUAAAUCAUGUUAAGAUUCUCCUCGAUCCCAUAAACAAGCUAGAUUUGAGUUGUAAAGUGUCUUUGACAGCUUUCUUGGAAUGUUUCCACUAAAAUUCCUUGCUGGAAAUAUGUUAGAAAAAUAGUAUGAAGGUAGAGCAAGUUGAUGUGCAAGUUGUAGAAAACAGGGGAGAAUACGCCGCCUUUGAAUACGCGAACUAAUGCCACAAAGUCAAAGCUCACGUUUUCACUUAUGUGACUUUAGCACCACUUCAACUGAUGUUCUCUUGAUGAUGGAGGCUGAAUUAGUUCUUUUGCAAGACAUGAAAGUUGCCUCAACAGGUCAAAACUCUGUUUUAGUUUUCGACAACAAAAUUUUACAUCUAUAUUUUGACAUUUUGACUAGGAAAAAUCAUGAACUAGAUUUUGAUAUCUUCAUAAGAAAUGUAGAGCUAUGUGUUAGCUUCAAAAUGGCAUCAAAAUCACUUCAAUCUGAUACUUGUAACUCAAGAUAUAGCCGAAAUACCAACAGGUGUCAAACCUAUCAAACUUUUCCUCUUUUAUACUUGCUUGCAUUUUAUCUUUUGAGUAUUUGGCACUUCAUAUUCUCUUUAAAUCACUUUAAAAUCAUCAAAAAUCAUCUACUUAUCUUCUCAAUUCACUCCAUUUGAUGAUUGAAUCCUUAAACAUACCAAAACAAUAAGUUUUCAUCGCUUAAAUCCAUAGAAAUGCAAUUUUUGAUACUUAACCCAUAAAAUGCAUUCUUGACUAGAAAUUUAGUUCAUUAGCUAUAGAAAAUAAAUAAAACACACCAAAACUAAGUAAUAAAACACACUUAAAACAAAAAAAGUAUGCACUUAUUAGAGAGAUAGAGCAGCCUCACUUGUAGGCCCAUUUGGCAAUUAUGCAGUGAAUUUUGGUUGAGUUUGUAGCCAGAAUCGCAACUCACACAAAAAGAUGAAGUGGGCAUUUUUUUUUUACAAAUUUGGAAAUUGGAUGGCCAAAGUUGGUGAUUGGCGAUGGUCGCAGGUGCAAGUGGCAGACGAUGGAUGUAGUAUCAACCCCAACAUUCUAGUUGCCAUUGUUGUUACCUUUAAGGCUUCUAGAAAAUUGGAAACAAAAAAAUGGGAACAAAAUAGAAAAGAAAAUAUAUGAUGAUUUUGUAAGAUAGGCAAUUUUAAUUAUGGUGGGCAUUUAGUCAUUUUACUCACAUUUAAUAGAAGUUAUUGAUAGGGGUGUAUUUGUUAUUUGGUCAAAUCUCGGGGCUUGAUCGGUAAUUUGGUCAAAUUUGAGGGGAGGUAAAUGUAAUUAAACCAAAAUUUUAUUACCAAAACCUCACCUUUAAGAUAGAUGUUGAUUCAAGACACAUGAUAAAAAAAACAAAAGCUAAUACAACAAAUAUUGCAAGAUAUGUUCAAAGCCAUGAUAUUACAAAAAAGAAUACUUUGAAGACUUGAACACUAACUCUUCUUCUUUGGCUCUCCAAUUUAACACCCAGUUGGAGCUAGAAUUUUCUUUAGAUUUCUUAUGCUUUGGAUACCAAAUAUUCUCAUGCAAAAUAACAUGGUUGAGAAAUAAAGUGUCUCAACAAAUCAAUGCAACAAAUUCAGUGAACAAUUUGAUAAAAAGAGCCCUCACAAUGCAGUAGUCAAGCCAUAAUUGGUGGAUAGAUUUAAUAGUGUAAGGGUGUUAGAGGGGAUUUAUCGUAAUAUGGUGGUGGAGAAGACAAUGAAAAAGGUGAAGGUGAUAGAGGAGGAGGAGGUGGUAAGUUAUAGUAAUAAGGGAUGGAGGAGAUGGUGAUGGUAGUGGUGGAGAUUUAUAAUAGUAUGGUGGUGGAGGUGGUGGGGAUUUGUAGUCAUAAGGAGGUGAAGGUAAUGGGGAAGGAGGAGAUAGAGAUUUAUAGUAGUUUGGUGGUGGAGGAUUAGAAGGAGGCGGUGGAGGAUUACAACAGGAUGGUGGAGGAGAUGGUGAUGGUGAUGGUGGAGGUUUAUAGUAGUAUGGUGGUGGUGGUGAUCACGAAAAAGGUGAUGGAGAUUUGUAGUAAUAAGGAGGUAGAGGUGAUUGGGGUGGAGAAGGUGGUGAUUUAUAGUAAUAUGGUGGUGGAGGUGAUGGAGAUGGUGGUGGUGGUGAAUUGUAAUAGUAUAGUGGCAGUGGUGAUGGAAAUAGUGGUGGUGGUGGUGGUGGUAGAGAAGGUGGUCAUGAAGACUUAGAGUAAUAAGGCAGUCAGUGACGGAGUCAGGAAUUUUUUUUGGGGGGGGCCAAAAUUUUUUCCUAAUAAAAUUAUCUUAAUAUAUUAUGUUCAAAAUAAUUUUCUUCUAUUUAAAUAUAUGACAUCUAAAAAUAUCAAAUAUUAAAUUUAAUUAUAAAGGUACGUCUAUUCAUAAAUAUACGGUACAGUCAUAACAAAAAUUAACAAAAAAGAUAAUCUUUGAUUAAAUAUCUUAUAACAUUACAAACCAUCCAAUUGCACAUUAUGAGAAGAUGCUCUCCAAUAUGUCACCUAUGCAAUAUAUAUAUAUAUAUAACCAUGUAAUAUAAAUAUAACCAUUUUCAAUUGAAAAAAGAUAAAAGUUAUGUUAACAUAUUUUGAAAUUUCAACAUCUUUUCUUAGAAGUAAAUUGAGCUCUACGCUCUUUCAUAGAACUAAAUUCAUCUAUGAUUGAAUCACUGCUAAAUUUUUCAGCAACUUCCUUUUCUAUAUACACAAUUAGAUAAUCAUUUAAGAAAUUAUCUUCCAUCUUGUUUUGGAGCUUUGUCUUGAUUAUUUUCAUAAUUGAAAAUGCCCACUCUGUAAUUGCAAUCGAUACAGGAAGAGUAAGAACAAGUCUAAUCAAUCUAUCAAUAAGAGGAUAUAUCACUGAUUUUUUUGUCUUCACCAAGCCUUGACAUAACUCAUGAAUACCAGAUAAUUCUUGCAAUUCAUGAUGAUUUGGAAUGUCGAGUUCAAAAUGUUGAAGUUCUAUUUUUAGACGUACUAGUUCUUGCUCCAUAAAAUCAUUCGGAUAGAACUUCUCUGCAAGUUUACAAAUAUCAUCAAUCUUGAACAGCAUAAAUCCAUUUCUAGGAUUUAAAGUAGUGCUCAAAACAAGCAAUUCCAUGAUAUGAUCAUUAAACCUGCUAUGUAACUCUUGCAAUUGAUAAUCAAUUGUUGCAAGAAAUAUAUCCAUUCGAUAAUAAUGCUCCACACUAAUCUCAUCAUGAUGACUUCGAGAUCUACCACGUCUUGCAAUAUAUUGAGCAUUCAUACAUGGGAUAUCAAUUUGAUGUUGCUCAAAAAAUAAUUUAACGUUCACCAAAAAUCAUCCCAUCCCGAAUCUCGAAAAUUCUUCAGUAGCUUUGUUGUGCUUGAGACAAGAUAUAUUGCAUUCAAAAUAUCUUGAGAUUUAUGUUGCAAUGCUAUACAAAAAAGAUGAGUAAUUUCCACAAUGUCUUUUAUAAGAUGUAAAGUGAAAACAAGCUUAAAAGAUAACAACUGAUUCAAAACAAAAUUUGCAUCUCCACGUUGAGAGUAUGAGCCUCCAUCUACUGCAAUGUUACUUAAAACCACACAAGUAGCAUUGAACAUUUUCAGUAAACUAGAAAUAGAAUCCAAAUGAGAACCCCAACGAGUAUCUCCAGCUCGUUUUAAAGUGCCAAUUUGAUUAAGCCCCCUUCCAGUUUCAAGUUCACCAUUAGCAAUCUUAGUAGCAACUUCAAUUGCUUGAAUCUCCUUUAAUUCAUCAUUACAUUUGCUAGAUGUAGUAACAAUGUUGAUAAUGAAAACUAAAUUGGAGAAGAAUUGGUGAACAGAAACUACUUCUCUAGAAGCUGCAACUAAAGCAAAUUGAAGCCUAUGAGCCAAACAAUGAAUGUAACAGGCAUAUGGACAUUCAUGGCAAAUUAAAGCUUGCAAGCCAUUCCAUUCAAAGAUGACUAAUUCAUAUACAUAUAUAUAUAUAUAUAUCAACUCUCAUAAUAUAAACUAAAAUUGUAAAAAUUAACUCUCAUAAUGACUAAAAUUAGGAGGGCCAAUUUUAUUUUACACACAUAUUUAUAUAUUAUGAAUUAAAAUUCUCAAAACUUAGGGGGGUCAUGGCCCCCCUCUGCCCCCCUUGGCUCCAUCAUUGCAAACAGGUGAGAACAUUAUCUCACGAAACAGCUCUAGAAUACACAUGGGUUUUUACGACAUGCAAGGCAAGUGCGUUUGCUCGUGUACUUCUUGAUGUUUGUUGCUUCAUACAAUCAGUUUGGAUAACUAGAUACUAACAUUUUUGUAGUGCUCUUUCUUUUUUAGGAGGUAUACAGUUUUUUUUUUUGAAAAAUAAUUUGAUUCCCUUGAGAAUCAUAGGCUGUUUCUUUGUUGAACACUUACUGAUUUCUUCCUUCCCCUCUUUGGUGCCGGAACAUUUACUUGGAUAAUUAUAGUAGUCUGUGGUAUAUCUGUUCUCAAGUUAGUACGUUUCAUCUCUUUGACAUGGCAUAAGGUAAACAUCAGUUGCUUUCUAUCACUGGCCGCCAGAAUCCCCUAUAUAUAGGGGGUUUUCCGGCGGCUUGGGGGGGGGCUUAAGCCCCCACCAGCCCCCCCCUUAAAUCCGUGGCUGAAGGCAGUGGAUGUGAUGGGGAAGGAGGUGGCGUUGACUUAUAGUAAUAGGGCGGAGGUGAUGGGGAUGGUGAUGAUGGAGAACUAUAGUAAUAAGGAGGUGGAGAUGAUGGUGAUGGUGAUGGAGGAGGUGGAGACUUAUAGUAAUACGGUGGUGGAGUUGAUGGAGAUGGUGGCGAUGGAGAUUUGUAUAGUGAUGGUGGUGGAGACUUAUAGUAAUAAGGAGGGGAGGUGAUGAGGAACGAGGUGGUGGUGACUUAUAGUAAUAGGGAGGUGGAUGUGAAUGGGAUGGUAUUCGUGGAGAUUUAUAGUAAUAUGGUGGUGGGGAUGAUAGUGAGGGAGGUGGCGAAGACUUAUAGUAGUAAAGAAAUAGAGGUGAUAGCGAUGGUGGUGGUGGUGAUUUAUAAUAAUAUGGUGGGGGUAGACAAUGAGAAGGAGGUGGAGGUGACUUGCAAACAUAUGGAAGUGCUGGUGAUUGUGAUGGAGGUGGUGGAGACUUGUAGGUAUAAGGUGGAGGAGAUGAGGGAGAAGGUGGAAGUGGUGACUUGUAGAUGUAAGGAGGAUGAGGCGAAGUAGAUGGUGAUAGAGGUGACUUGUAGUAGUAAGGUGGUGGUGGAGAUGCAUAAAUGUAGGGCUUUUGUCUAUAGCAGCUACAUUUGUGGCCUUCAGACAUGUUGCCAGGGCAACAACUAGCCUUGGCCAAGAUGUUGCCAUUUUUGGCAACUAAAGAUGUUGAAGUCAAGGAACUCUCUAGUCCUAGCAUGUCUAUGUGAAGAAAAUGUAGAACUCAAAUUUUAGGGUACUAAUAAUAAUCAAUACAUGCAGUGUUACAAAAUUGAAGGGAUAAAACAAACACUCAAAAUAUAUGUGAGAGAGAAGAAAAUAACAAACUCAACUCACAAUAUUAUUGAAAUCUCAAACAAUGAAAAAAGUCACACCAUAAUAGAAAUCUGACAAACUUUUCUAGAUUCUCUCUAAAAAAUAUCUUAAAUAAUGUCCUAUUUAUAAUUUACCAAACUUGUUAGAAAAGAAAACACUUGCAUAAGAAAUUGCUAAAUAAUACACAAAUUCCUAAAUCACACAACUACUAAAAAUCUAACUCCAAUAAAACUAAUAAAUAAAUAUUUCUAGGAUUGGUUUAGUUUGCCAACAUUGUCUCUCUUAAACCACGCUCUCCAUUGAGACAGGUCCAACACCACUCAAGCAAGAAUCUCUAUGCAAAUCUCUGUCGCAGUAUAGUUGACAUGUAACUUCAUCUUUGUAUGUGGUAGUGGAUACACUUUGUAUUUGCAAAUAAUUUCUUAGCAAUUUCUUCUUGAUCAAAGUACUCACUCGUACAAACCCAUUCAUCACCAGAAUCACCAUAUUUAUCACCAAUGUAAGUGCCCAAAAAUACAAAAUUAUAUAUUGCUUUCUUGUCAAAAUUAUCAUCACCAAAUAAUUCAAAAUAAUUACUACCACAAUUGUCCAAAAUUUUCAUACUGUCAAUCAACUCUUUUGGAGCAAAAUAUUUUUGAAUUCCGAUGAAAUCCGUAUUUAUCAAAUGAAAUAUCUUUCGAUCAUAUUGAAGAGAGUCCGAACCAAUAAAAUUUACAAGAAUUGCUUUUUCUUCAUAUACGAAAUCAAACUUUCCCUCCUCCUUUAUCAAAUUACCACAUGGUUUUUCUAUAACAAAUUCAUCAAUUCCAAUUUCUCCAAACAAGGUAUGCAAAUCCAAACAAUCAACUGAUUCAAAAUUUUCAACAUCACCCAUAUCAUCAACAAAUCUAUCAUUUUCAAAAUCAACAAACCAAUACCAACAACCAGAUUUCGGUUUAAAAGCAUAAUUUUUCUCAAUUGUCUGCAAAACAUAGUAAAUAUCCUUCCAAAAUCUCCAAAUAUUUUAGUACGAUGAACAAAAGUUUUGUAAAUACUUUCUGCCAUUGUUUUAUGCAUCACUUGAAAACAUGCUUUGGCAACUCACUUGCAUCAACCCAACAAAGAAUAUCAUCCAAAUUGCAUUGUUUGAGAUAUUUUUCCACUGUUAAAACCUAACCAAAAUAUUUAUGUCUAUUUGUGCUUAUAGGAGUAACUAUGGCAAAAUUUUCGCCAUCAAUUAGAUCUCUAUAAUAUUCUACCAUUAUUUAACAAUUCAUAUACAUAAAUUUUUCUCUCCCUUUUGCCAAGUUUUCCUAGCAUCCCUGGUUGAUUGACUAAUCAAAUCCUUUAAUCUGACAACUCGCAACAAUCAACAAAUCUAACAGGUUUCCACUCCAAUCUCUGUCUUCACAUCUGCAACAAUCUAACAAUUUUCGGACCAAUGUUAUGGUCGAUUUCUUCACCAACUACACACUUCUGGACCAACUUUGUGGUCUAACUCGAUUAACAGAAUACUUUUUGGCAACUUUGUGCCAUAAUUCUCUGACAAUGGAAACAUUUAGGACUAACCUCGUAGUUUGGCUUUGACACCAAUUAUAGAACCCAAAUUUUAGAAUUUUAAUAAUAAUCAAUGCGUGCAGAGUUACAGAAUUAAAAGGAUAAGACAAACACUCAAAAUAUAUAUGGGAGAGAAGAAAAUAAUAAACUCAACUCAUAAUAUUAUUGAAAUCACAAGCAAUGAAGAAGGUCACAUUACAAUAAAAAAAAUCUGACAAACUCUUUUAGAUUCUCUUUAGAAAAUAUCCUAAAUAAUGUCCUAUUUAUAAUCUAUCAAAUUUGUUAGGAAAGAAAAAAUUUGCAUAAGAAAUUACCAAAUAAAACACAAAUUCCUAAAUCACCCAACUACUAAAAACUAAACUCCAAUAAAACUAAUAAAUAAAUACGUUUAGGCUUGGUUCAAUUUGCCAAUAGUAAACAGAGCCAAUUGUGGUUAGUGUGUUCAAGCUAAUGUCUUUAUAUAGUGUUUGAUGCAUGAAGAAUAUAUGGAAUACUUUAAUUCCAUUUGGAAGCUUCAGAGUAUGAAGCAUACAAUGAUCACAUCGUGCAUGCGUGUUAGACAAGCGGGUAACAACUUGAUCGGAUCCCACUGCAGGUUUGGUGCAUAUGCUUCAGAUCAAGUCAAGACGGACAAUGUCAAAUCUAAGAUUAGAAUUUUGGGCUGAAUGAGGUAGGAGAAAUCUAUUAGGGUAGCUUUACAAGAAAACUUUAUAAUUAUCAAGUUAAACAUAAACUAUAAUUGGCAAAAAGGAAAUGUACCAAGGUAGGUCUAUAAGAAUUAAACCUCUAGCUAGUUAAUAAUCUUUAGAUGUGAUAUUAGAACGAACCACAGCAUUUUGCGAUGUUGGCUAGUCCGAAUUCAUGGAGAUUGAGACGAGUGAUUUGUUGAAGGAUAUUUUGAAACUGUAUCGUGAAGAUGGCGGUUGACUUACAAUUUAAUAUUCUCAAACGAGUUACAUUGUUACUGGUGUAUACCCAAAAGUAUACAACUAUAGGGUGGAAAGAUAAAAACUAUGUAAAAGUUAAUUUACAUGAUCCAAAUGUUGCAUUUUACAGUAUGUUGUUGAAUUGCAUACAUUUUUCUUGUUCUUCGACCCCCCCCCAACCCCCCCCCCCCCCCCCGCUCCAACACACACCUUCCCCCGCUAAAAAAAAACGAAAGAAAAAAUGGCACGCGCGCACACACGCAUCGAUCAUUGUGUUGAGUUCUAUUGGACAAAGCAGUUCAUACAAGCAUGUAUGUUAUAAGCUGCAUAAUACCUUGAAAUUCAUAACUUCAAAAAUGUAUAAAAUGGAAAAACAAAAGUAAAGUACAAUAUGAGAUGCUUACCUACAAUAUCAAAAGCAUGUAUUCUUCCCAGAGAGUUGUAAAGACUAGGAUAUGUAGUAUGGCCUCCAUUGUUUUGUUUCAAUUGCAUGGUUUUUUUGGAGACAUGUUGCAGUUCAAGCAGCUAAUGGAUCUACCUCCAUCUCACGGCCUUAAUCUUUUGCUGGUACCAUAGAAGUGGGGAAGGAGGUUUUGCUCAAACUCAAAAGCAUUUGGGGAAGUUUAACAAAUGUUACCUUCUUUAAUUUGCUGGGAUAUCCCUAAAGCAAGAAAUUUAGCUUAUCGAUUGGGAAGGCCCGCUCAAUCUUGCAUGUUACUAAUCAAAUUAUGGCUUUAUCCAUUGAACGUGAAUUGCUACUACAAGAAAAUUGGUCAUCAGUGACAACUUUUCUCUGUGACGAAAAAAAGUUGUCACAAAAGUGGAUCCUUUAUUGACGACUUUCUAACUCGUCACAAACCUCUAAUGGGAGCCAACUCAUUUGUGACGACUUAGAAAAGUCGUCACUAGUAAAUUCCCGCCAAGAUUUAGCAAGAGCGCGGGAGUGUUUAGAACACACAAUAGUGACGACAUUAAGAACAUCAUCACUAUUGCUUGGCCUAUUUACGGACGACUUUUUGUUGUCGUCACUGAUCACUAAAAAAAAAAGUUAUUAGUGACAACAUUUUGUAGUGAUGACAAUAGGUCGUCACAAAAGGAGCUUCUUUAGUCGCGACACCUAAAGUUGUCACAAUUGCAUCAAAGCAACUAAAUGUUUAGUGACGACCCGUUAUUUUCGUCACAAACUACACUGCAAGAAAUAUGGUCAUUAGUGACAACAUUUUUUAGUGACGACAAAAGUCGUCACAAAACGUGGUUGUUUAGUGACGACAAGGAAAGUUGUCAUAAUUGCUCAAAGCAACUAAGUCUUCAGUGACGACCUUGAAAAAGUUGUCACUAAAAUGCUCUAUAUAGUGACAACUUCUAAUAUCGUCACUGUCACUCUACCGAUUCGGAUUUAGUGACAAGAAUUGAUCGUCACUGUUUAAAGUACUUAUUUCUAAGUCACUUUCAUUAAUUCUACUGUGCCACCCUAACUUUUGCGAUUUAGCCCCAAAUGUUGUAAAAAAUUCCAUUAAUUCCAUUAUGAUACCUUAACUUUUACAAUUUAGCCCCAUAUGUAGUACACCGAUUUCUUUAAUUCUAUUAUUACUCCCUAACUUUUGUAAUUUAGCCCCAUAUGUAAUUCACCAAUUUCAUUAAUUCUACUAUGGCACUCUAACUUUUGCAAUUUAACCCCCAUAUGUAAUACACCAAUUUUAUUAUUUCUAUUAUGGCACCCUAACUUUUACAAUUUAGCCCCUAUUUUUUUAUUAGGAAAUUGCGAAUGGUAUCUUGAUAAACUAUGCAUAAAUAUUUUAUAAUUUUCUCAAACUUAAGUAAUAAUUUGUUAUAAACUCUAAAGAUAUAUCUUUCAUUACAAUAGUUAUAAGGCAGACAGGUCUUUUUAUCAAUGGAAUAAGAAAUUUAUGCCAGAUUUAUCCUUUGUACUACAUGCCAAGUAGUAUUAGCAAAGGAAUAACAAAGUACUACAAAGUAAUUAACAAAAUAGCCUUCAGGGAGUGUAAUUUAUGGGCAAAUGAGCAUUAUCUAUUCAAAGUACCAACUUUUUAUGGGCAUUUUACUCUCAAACAUAUAAUUUAUGAUAAAUUUAUAAAUGUUUGUAAGUAAAAUUCAAAAAGUGUUACACUGAUUUCUUACAAAACGAAAACUGGCAGGUUAUCUUUUCAACAUAAAUUAAAUUUUUUUAAAAAAAGAAAUGGCCCAUAAAAUACCAACUCUUUGUGGGUUUCCUCCAUUACAUGAACAAAUAUUCUGCUCUUUAUGGGCAUUUCACUCCGAAUCAUUUAAUUUAUGUUAAAUACAUAAAUGUUUGUAAGUAAAAUUCAAAAAGUGUUGCACUAAUAUUUUUAUGGAAGGGAAACUGGUAGGUUUUGUAUUUAACAUAAAUUAAAUAUGUGAAAGCAAAAAAAAAAAGAAAUUACCCAUAAAUCUAUGUCUUGCAAAUGUAUACUAGUAAAAUAGUUUCAAACAAAAUUAAACAUUAAAAUAAACUGUAAUUUAUACACAUUAAAAUAUUUGUAAUUUAUACACAUUUUGCAACUACUACUUUGUGUUUUCUCUGUAAUGAAUUUUUUAACUAUUGAGAACUUAAGUUUUGUCUUGCAAAUCUAUACUAGUACAAUAGUUUUAAACAAAAUUAAACAUUAAAAUAAAUGUUUCAAAAAGAACAAAAGUACAUUUAUCACUUGCGGUAAUGUAACAAAAUUUUCUCAACCAUUAUCAAUAUUUUCACAAAAGUAUUAAAAACUAGCAAUUGACAAUAUUAAAAACUAGCAAUUUAAUUAGUGACGACUUUUCUUGUCAUUAUAAUCUUGAAUAAAUUAGUGAUAACAUUAUGUCAUCACUAAAUUUUCUUUGAUUUUGACUUAACAAUAAUGUCUUAUUAAUAGCAUUUGAUUAUUUUUAAUGAAAGUCUGUUAUAACCAUAGAAUUUGACUUUCGUUAUUUUCAAUUAAUGAUGUACUUUAGUGCUGCAAUUAUAAAAAAUUGCAGGGCUAAAAUAUUUGCAAAUUAUAAAAGUAUAUUUUCACUUAUAUGUAAUUAACAAAUUUUGCCACCUAUAUUGAUGAAAAUUUGUGUUUUUGUACUAAAAAAUAAAGAAUAAUACUAUAGCAAUAAAAUCUAUGCUUCAAACCAAAUUAAAAAUAAAAAAAAGCAUUGUGUUUUUGUAAUCAUUAUGUGUUCUCUAAUGAUUUUUAACUGUUAUAUACUUAUGAGCCUCCUUGUUAAUUUAAUUUUCUUGUAUAUGUAAUAACUUCAUUAGAAUAAAAAUAAUUGAAUAAAUAAAUAAUUCAUUAGUGUAAAUAAACUUGUGACUACUUAACUUAGAAUGAUUAUCAGUUAAUUUGAUAUGAAAAUUUGUGCCCAAGUUUUUUGGAUAUUGUUUGAGUUAUGGGCGAAAUCAUCUCCACUAGAAUUAUUUUAGUUGUGAAUACCAUUACUUCAUUUUUUUAUUGUGCAAGAUAAAGGUUUUCAGCGGAGUUGGUGGUGGAAACGGGUUUGAGAGAUUGAGUUUGGGGACGAAGGUGAAGGUUUUAAUUAGCUAUAGUGGUAGGAGUGGAUCCCCUUCUUCAUCCACCUCUUCCACCGAGAUUAACCCAUCUAACUCCACUUCCUUCAACCACCAAAACGGUGGUCCUGCUCCCCACCGCAUCGCUGCCGGAGCAAAUAACUCCGACUCGAUGCACUCCUGGUGGGAGUCCAUAUCAAAAGCCCGCACUCGAAUCCAUCUCCUCUCCACUCUUCUCCCCGAACCUCCUCAGUUCUCUCGUUCCUUGCCGACUCCGACCGCCCUGCCCGCUCCCUCCUCCUCUCUUCCGCCGCCUAUUCUUCCAUCUCAUCUUCCCUCUCCUCCCCUUCAUCCGGCUCCGACGACGACUCUCUUUGCCUGUGGCUAUACGACACCUUCCUCUCCGCUGACUCCGAACUCCGCCUCGUUGUCCUCUGCUAUAUCCCUCUCCUCUCCUCCUUCUAUCUAUCCCGCAUCCACUCCUCCUCCACCACAUCCGCUAUCUCCCCACCCCUAAUCUCGCCGGCUUCGAAGCUGUCCUUCUUGUCCUCUACUCAUCUGAAGUCAAGGCUCAUUCGGGUAUACCCGUGCUCAUUUCAAUCCCUGAUCUCUCUCAACCUUCUCUUUAUCACUCCUCUCGAAAUCCCCCUUCGAAUAAAUCGAACCCCAUUAACAAUAACCCCUCGUCUCGGCCUCUAGUCGGCGUUCUAUCGCCUCCUCUCGAACCCCAGAUGGCGGUGAAGUCUACUAAACGAGCUUCCAUUGUAGGCAUUGCCCUUGAUUGUUAUUAUAAGCAGAUCUCGCAAAUGCCCAGUUGGUCAAAGCUUGAUUUUUGCAAAUUUUCGGCAGAUUGGGCAAGUCAGGAUUGCCCUUGUAAAUCUGAUUUCGAUGAUUUUACUACCCAAAAACCUGAUAAUUUUACUGAAAGUAGCCAUGGGCUUUCGGGUGACUCGAGGGGUCACAAUGAGAUUGAGGAUGUUGUGGAAGAAAUUCGGCAUUUGCGAAGUGAGGGGAGGGAUGACGAGUUGAGGUCACAGGGGGUGAGAAUUCCGCUGCCAUGGGAGUUAUUACAGCCGGCAUUGAGGAUUUUGGGGCACUGCUUGCUAGGGCAUUUGAUUACAGAGGAUGUGAAAGCAGCAACUUCAGUGGCAAUAAGGAGCUUGUAUGCUGGGCCUCCCAUGACCUGAACCCGCAGGCCAUUUUGGCGACUAGCAGUCUGAUUUAGCUAGAUAACAGGGCACGCGAGGCUGUUGCUGCAGCUGCAGCUGCCAGUGCUACCUCCAAUGCUAAUACACCCAGUAAGGCUAAAAAGCCUGAGAUCCUUUUGGUUUCUAAGUGAUAUCAAAAGUGAAUGAGAUAAUUUGCUUUAAUUCUUGAAUGUGAGUUUGUAUGUGGAAUUAUGUAGGUAUAGGUGUAGAUUAUACGCGAGUAAUGAGUAGCUUAUUUUGAACUUGGAACUCAGCCUGAAAGUUGUGUAUCAUUAUUACUGUGAUAUGAAUAGGUGUUCCAAUUGCUUAUAUUUGGACUUAAAAAAAAUUAAAUAAAUAAAUCGAAUGAAUAUGUAAGUUUUGAUGAUUAUGUAGUGCUCUUGGAAUAUGUAGUUGUAACGUAAUUAGGUACAAGUAUAGAUUAGUAUCAAAAUUAAAAGAAGAAAACAUAUGUUUUAUAUGCAAACAUUUUCUUAUAAGAACUACAGCUACCAUUUUAUUCAUUGUCUUCGAGCUUAUAAUGCACAUUAUCAUUUCGUAGGGACAUCAUUGGUUUGUUAUUGUCUUGCAGCUCAUUAUGCUGAUGCUAUUGGUCCCUGCUAUGGAAUUCCCAAUUAUUGUGAUGUUUGGGUAAGUAUAUACUCCUUUCUAUCUAUGUUAGACUUGUUUCAAAUGGUUGGGUCUUGUCAACAAAGUUUUGUAAAAGUGACAAUUUUCACUUUGUUCUAGGAGACAUUUGCAUAUAAACAAGCUACAAGUGGUCUCUGAUUUGUGUUUGAUUUUCCUGCCAAUUAAUGAAUAUGAUAGGAGUAAUUUUCUUUUCCUUCCUUUUGGAAGUUUUUGCAUGGUUUAGUUGAGUUGUUUGUGUGAGAGUAAUUGAUUCAGCUUCCUUUUUUUUGCAUUAUUGUUUGCUGACUUAUUGGCCAAGAGGGCUCUCAAUUAGUUUUAGGACCAAGAAUUCCUUCUAUAGUUUUCUAGUGCUAGUAUUAGCUUCAAGUUAGCUUCUUAAUGUCUCCUGCAGUCGACUGAUUUUUGUUAUUAUUUGCAGCAAUUGAACCUGUUGACAGAGGCUUCGGAUUCGGAUUUGGGUCUAGGAUAUUACAAUCUACCAAUCAAGCUACCAUUUUCGCUUGUGGUACCCUUAUACUCUCUAUCUCCUCUUUGCUUCUUUUUUUCUGUUAUUUAUAGCCAAUCCAAUUCACUAUAAAUUUAUACUUUCUAAAUCAUCCUAAAAAUUGAAAUGUUGCUAUACAGCUACUAAAUGCACUAUGUAUAUAAUGCAUAUGUAGGUGCACAGUGGUUAAUGUGAUUUAAUAGCUAAGACUAAUUACUAUGAUUUUUUUUGUACUUUUUUGUGUUCUUGCUCCAGUUCAUGACAAUCUCAAAUAUGGCUGUGUUCCAUUUUGUUUACUUUUCAUUGUUGUUGUUUGGGAAGAUUAAAUUAACUGCCGUGUCUUCAUUAUGUUACUUGCUGCCCUUUUAUGGACAACAAGUGAUUUUCCAGCAUAAGCCUAUUUUCAACUAUAUAUACUUGUCUAAAUUGUGUUAUGUUUGUAAAUGAGACGCUCUUGUAAUUUUCCAGCAUAUAUGAGACCUUAAAUUGUGACUAAGGCAUAUUUAUUAUAGAUACAGUGGCUGUUGCGAUUCAAAAAUAGCAUAAGUUAUUGAACCUUAAUCCUUGGUCUGUGACAAUAUUAACAUGUAAUUUGCCAAAGAAUUUAGUAAAUGCUUGUUACUUUUGUUUUUUUAUUUAGGAAAUUUGAAGGCUGUUAUACGUCUUUGAUAUUAAGAGUUUUCUUUGUCUGUGACAAUACCUGGUUUUUACUCUCUAUAAUUGGUUCCUAUGUGCAUAUUAAGAGCUAUCUUUGCUUUUAUUUUGUCUCUUAUUCUGCUCUUUAUGUAGUCACUAUUUGGAUGAGAGUUUAAAUAAAUGAGACUUUAUUUUUUGUGAAUCCUCAUUUGAUUUUCCUUGUCUCAAGUUUGUUUUGUCAUCUACUAAUAAUUGUAUUUUUCUAUUGCAGAUAUAUUGCACAUUUUAGAGUUUUGGAAGAUGAGUAGCCGAGGCUACUUAUUAGCUCAAAAACUGGUUAUAGUGCUAUCUUAUGCUUAGGAAAUGUUUCGUAUAACACAAAAAUGUUUUGGGACUUGGAUUCGUUUUGUACUGCUCCCUUGCCUUAUAUGAUACAACUCAUUCUAAUACUACUUGUCAAACUCUUUAUAAUGUGAUGUUGCACAUGAUUAUGAUAUUGGAAGGAUUAUUAUAAUAUUUUGGCAUUUUCUAUUGUAAUGGGUGAAUGUGUUUGUUAUUCAUUAAGCAUUGUUGGUGGCUCCCAUUUUUUUAUAUUACUCUAGCAAGAAAUACAUCAAACUACACAGUGACAAGAUAUUGUAACUGAAUCACAUUUCUCCAAUGACAAGUGCCUAUUGUCAGUAAAUCAAAUGUCUUUAUUGACAACAAUUGUUGUAAUUGAAUUAAAUUCUAUAUUGACAACAAUAUGUUGUCACUGUUGAAAGGUGUUUAGUGACAACAAAAUUGCUAGUAAUUGGACCAUAUACUGAUGACCAUUGUUGAGUUUUAGUGACGAUAUUGUUUCAUGCAUCAUUGAUAAGAAGUCAUGUUGUCACUAAACUUAAAGCAUUUAUUGAUGAGAAAAGUUGUCACAAAAGCUCUUUAUUCACUGACGACUUUUAAGUCAUCAGUGUAUACUUUUACCGACGGGCAUUCAGUGACGACCCUGUGACGACCGAAAAGUUGUCAGUAAAAUCCAUUAGUGAUGACUUUUUACUUUUUUGUGACAAGAAUAGAUUGUCACUAAAGGUCAAAUUUCUUGUAGUACUUGGAAGAAGGAUCGAUGAAGGCCCUUUCCUAUUGUUAAAAGGUGUUUUUUUAGUAAUCUCAAGGAUUAAUGGCCUAGAGCGUCGUUUUCAGUUUUUGGUUCACCAGGUCUUUUAUUUACUAGAUGUUGAAUACUCAAUAGGACUUCAUCCCAAGAUCCAACUUAACUAAUAUGGACAUUGGCCUAGUGAGCAAGAAGUUGCUAGUUCUAACUUUCAGGUGGCGUUUGGUAAGAGGGUUUCGAAAUGGAGAAUUGGAAUAAACCCCAUAAUUAUUGUUUGGAUUACUACUAUCGGAAUCGUGAUUUUGGAAUUAUAUCUAAAAAUUUAGAAUUCCUCAAUUUCCCAAUAACUUGGAGGUUUUGGACAAAACCCAAGUCUGAUUCCCAUUUAAAAAUGGGGCUUUUCCCGCCACCCAUUAAAAAAAUUAAUAUAUAAUUAUAUACAUAUAUAUUAUUAUUAUAUAAUAUAUACUAUAAUUAUAAUAUUAAUUAUAGUUAUAUAUUUUAUUAUAAUAUUAGUAUAUUAAUUAUAUACUAAUUGCAAGACCUGGAGUCUCCUUUCGACUUUAAAAAAAAAAUACUCAUAGGACUGAUUUAGGCAAGCUAGGUUUAAAGAAGAUCAGGUAAAAUUAGAGACUUUGGAGGGAUGUUUGCUUUCUCGACAUACUAUGGCCUUUCCAGCAAUUUGGAAGCAGAAGCAAUGGCUUUUCUAGUGGGUAUUCGUCAUUUUUCAUACGAAGGAUUCCAAUAGGUCAUAGUGGAGACAUGCACUGGUUUACUCAAUCCAGUAAACGGGCUUCAUUGGUUUCUUGUGGGAUCUAUCAUCUCAUAUCUCAUGGCCUCUUAACAACAGACAAUGGCAGUUUUACUUUUGUUCGUUGCUUUUGAAAAGUCAAUUUGGCUGUAGUUGCCUAAGCAAAGAUCGCUAUUUUUUCAAAGUCCAGUGCUACCUUUACAUCUAUCAAUUUACCAUCACGUGUAAAAAUGAUAUAUUAGACUACAUCAAUCUCACUUUCCUUGCAUUCAUUCAUGUACCAUGCAUAAAGCUACAGUUUGAAGCCCGAUCUUGUAAAUUGAUUUUAUUUAUUGCUCGCUUCAUUCCAUUGAAAGUGUCAUACUUUUCAUUUUGAAAUAUCUCAAUAUAUUUGUCAUCUCAUCAAAAUCAAAGUUACUUCUGUGUUUUUUUCAAUAAUGUUAUCCUCACCUUUAUAUUUAUGUCAUACUAAAUUUAAAUUUGAAUUUUGAAUUUUUGAGGCAACUUUGGAAAUAAAUCCAUCAACAUCACUAUUGAGCCACUAUUCUUAAAAAGUUAGAAUCCCGAAAUGUUACAAAUAAUUUGGGACAAAGGGAAUAAUAAACUGGUAGGCGCCUACAAAAAACUUGUUACCAUAUUAAGGUGGCGUUUGGUUCGCACAUUAGAAUCAGAUUCAGAUUUGUGAUCAUUCAUCCUGGAUUUGGAAUGGAAUCAGUUAUUCCAAUACAUCUAGUUGGUUUAGUACUAGGAAUGUAUAUCAUUAUUAUAAUUAAUGUUUGGUUCAUUGGCUCUUUCAAAAUGGAAUAUAAGAAAUUUAUAAUAUUGUAUAUAUAUAUAUUUUUAUAAUAUUAUAAUAUAUUUAUUAUAAUUAUAAAUAUAUAUUAUAUAAUUAUACUAAUAUUUAUAAAAAAUCAUAUUAUAAUUAUAAUAUAUAUUAUAUAUAUGUAUAUAAUCAUAUUAAUUUUUUAAAUCGGUGACGGGGCGGGCCCCAUUUCUAAAAGGGGAAAAAUUCCCCCUGCCCAUUGGCCCCCUGUAGGGCGGGUGCCCAAUUGCCAUCCCUAGUUUUCGACAAAUUAGAUAGGAAUCAGACUUGGGUUUUAUCCAAAACCUUCCAGAUUACUAGGAAAUUGAGGAACUCCAUAUUUUUAGAUAUAAUUCCAAAAUCUCAAUUCCGAUAAUAGUAAUCCGAACAAAAAUUAUGGGGUUUAUCCCAAUUCUCCAUUCCGAAACCCUCUUACCAAAUGCCACCUAAGUGUUUUUCACUUUAGAAAUAGCGAGAACUAACAUAAUUUUAAUUUUUAAAAAUAUUAAAAAAGGGUCAACCUGCCUAAUGUUUAAACCUAGAGAAGGUAGAUAGACGCAAUGUUGGAACCAGAAAUAAUUUUUAUUAAGGGCAAAAACAAUACUAAAAUUUACUUUUGUUUCUAAAAGACAUAUUAAUAACAUUUACAUAUCAGAUAAGAGCAAUACAUUUAUAUCGUGAUUAAUAUAACCCAACGCAACAUGCUCAAAUUUACUACUAAACAACCAUUUUCAAUAAAAAUGCAUACUACACGUAUUUAAAUUUCUAGUUGAUCUACAGUUUUCCUAGUUACAAGGUCAAUAAUUUUUUAUUUGACUAGAAAGAAAAGGCACCCAUGAUUUAUAAAAAAGAUCACCUUCAUUUUAUUUUUAAUUGAGCAGCACAACUACUUAAUUCUAGACACAACAUUUAACGUAAUGUAUUUUGUUUGUUUUAUUGGAAAAAGUUGGGACAACUCAUUUGACUAAUGAUGAGUAAAUUAUAAAUAAUUUCCAAAAAAAAUGACAAAGCUGAAAAUUUUUUUGGAUUGUUUAGGUUUCCAAAUUCAUCAAAUCAUAAAUUAAUAGCAUUAUACAUUCCCUCCUACAUUUUUUCGGGCAAAGCUGAAAAUUUGCUAAAAAUUGAAGGCACGGUAGUGCAAUUUUGUGGGAGCAGUGAGGGCCUGAGGGCCGUAACCCCAGUAUCCCCACUUUGAAUCUAUCACUGAAUAGACGUUAUAUCAGAACUCAAACGGCAGGCGAUGUGAAAAUUCCUAUAUUUAAAUAUGGCUUGAAGCUACCAUUUGAGAACCAAUUUUAUAUGUUGAGGGGUUUAAUAGAUAAUCUUAAAAGUUGAGUGCCCAAAUAUGAUCAUUUGUAAAAGUUGAGGGACAAUUGGAAUUAUUUACCCAUCUAGUUAUAUUUAGCCUCAACAACCAUAAUAAAGUUAAUGAUCGAGAGAUUAUACACACACACACCAAAAGAUAUUACGUACAAUAAUAGGAAAAAAAACAGAAACAUAUCGGAAUAGAAAAGAGUUUUCAUCAAGAUAUAUAAAAUUUUAACUUCAACUUCUAACAUAAAAAGUUGAUUCAAAGUAUGUGAUCUAAAAACAAAAUCUAGUACAAGAAAUAUUAGAACAAAAGUAGAAGGCCAAGAUGUUACAAAAUAAAUACUUCGAAAGCUUGAACAAUGAAUCUUCUUCGUUUAUUCUGCAGUUGGACACCCUGUUGCAGCUAGAACUUUUUCUUCAUGUUUUGGAUGCAAGACAUUCUUAAGCAUUAUAAUAUGGUUGACACUAAUGUGUCCCAACGAAUCAACUUUACAAAUUUAUUGAACAACUUGAUGAAAACAGACCUCACAAUGUGGUAGUCAAACCAUAAGAGGUGGAGAGGUUUAAUAGUGUGAGGGAGGUGAAGGCAAUUUAUAGUAAUAUGACGGUGGAGGAGAUGAUAAAGGAGGUGGAGGUGAUUUAUUAUAGUAUGGAGGUGGGGGUGAUGCAGAAGAAGGUGGUGGCGAGUUAUAGUAAUAAGGGGGUGAAGGAGAUGGUGAUGGUGGUGGUGGAGAUUUGUAAUAAUAUGGUGGUGGAGGUGAUGGGGAAAAGGUGGUGGGGAUUUAUAGUAAUAACUAGGUGGAGGUGAUGGGGAAGGAGGAGGUGGAGAUUUAUAGUAGUAUGGUGAUGGAGGUGAAGGAGAAGGAGUAGGUGGAGAUUUAUAGUAAUAGGGUGGUGGAGGAGAUGGUGAUGGUGGAGACUUAUAGUAGUAUGGUAGUGGUGGUGAUGGUGAAGGAGGUGGCGGAGAUUUGUAUUAAUAAGGAGGUGGCGGAGAUUUGUAUUAAUAAAGAGGUGGAGGUGAUGGGGAUGGAGGAGGUGGUGAUUUAUAGUAAUAUGGUGGUGGUGAAUUGUAAUAGUAUGGUGGCAGUGGUGAUGGAGAAGGUGGUGGUGAAGACUUAUAGUAAUAAGGUGGUGGAGGUGAGGGGAGGGAGGUGGUGGUGGUGACUUAUAGUAAUAGGGAGGUGGAGUUGAUGGGGAUGGUGGUGGUGGAGAUUUAUAGUAAUAUGGUGGUGGGGGUGACGGUGAGGGAGGUAGCGGAGACUUAUAGUAGUAAGGAGGCGGAGGUGAUGGCGAUGGUGGUGGUGGAGAUUUGUAAUAGUAUGGUGGUGGUGGUGAUGGAGAAGGUGGUGGUGGAGACUUAUAGUAGUAAGAAGGGAGAGGUGAUGGGGAGGGAGGUGGUGGUGACUUAUAGUAAUAGGGAGGUGGAGUUGAUGGGGAUGGCGGUGGUGGAGAUUUAUAGUAAUAUGGUGGUGGGGGUGACGGUGAGGGAGGUAGCGGAGACUUAUAGUAGUAAGGAGGCGGAGGUGAUGGCGAUGGUGGUGGUGGUGAUUUAUAAUAAUAUGGUGGGGGUGGAGAAAGAGAGGGAGGUGGAGGUGACUUGUAAAUAUAUGGAGGUGGUGGUAAUGGUGAUGGAGGUGGUGGAGACUUAUAGAUAUAAGGUGGAGGAGGCGAGGGAGAAGGUGGAGGCGGUGACUUGUAGAUGUAAGGAGGAGGAGGUGAAGGAGAUGGUGGUAGAGGUGACUUGUAGUAGUAAGGCGGUGGUGGUGAAGUUGAGGGAGGUGAUGGAGACUUAUAGAUAUAAGGUGGAGGAGGUGAGGGAGAAGGUGGAGGUGGUGACUUGUAAAUGUAAGGGGAGGAGGAGGUGAAGGUGAGGGAGGUGGUGGAGACUUGUGGAUAUAGGGAGAAGGAGGUGAAGGAGAUGGAGGAGAUGGUGACUUAUAAUAGUAAGGCAGUGGUGGUGGAAGUGAAGGAGGUGGUGGAGACUUAUAAUAAUAUGGAGAAGGUGGUGACUUGUAAUAGUAGGGUAGAGGCGGUGGAGAACUAUAGUAGUAUGGUGGUGGUGGUGGUGGAGAUGCAUAAGAGUACGGUUUUUUGUCAUCAGCAGCCACAAUUGUGGGUGUCAAACAUAUUGCCAAGGUAACAACUAGCCUUGGCCAAGAUGUUGCCAUUUUUGGCAACUGAAAAUGUUAUAGUCAAGAGACCCUCUCGUCCUAGCAAGGCUGUAAGAAAGGAAAAAGCCAAUUGUGUGGUUUUUGUGUUUCAUGUUUAUGUCUUUAUAUAGUGUUUGAUGCAUGAAGAGCUUUUGGAGCAUUUUAUUUCAGUUUGAAAGCUUCAGAGCAUCAAGUAUAAAAUGAUCACAUCAUGCAACCUAUCAAGACUAGGGAGUAGCAACAACUAACAACAUGAGGGGGCAAGCUUGGUGCAUAUGCUUAAGAAUAGAAUUUUGGGCUGAAUUAGGUAGGAUGAAUGUAUUAGGGAAGGUUUUUAAGAAACCCUUAUUAUUAUCAAAUAAACAUGAAGAGUAAUUGGCAUUUUAGAACGAACUAUAGAAUUUUGGGAUGUUGGUUAAGUCCAGAUACAUGGGGUUUGUUGAAGGAUGUUUUAAAUCCUCAGUGUGAAGAUGGCCAUUGACUUACAAUUUAAAAUUCUGAUAAACCAUUACUGGUAUAAACCCACUAACUGUCUAUGAAUCCAGAUUCAAUUGAUGGUUGGAAGGAAUUCAUCACAAAUUUUUUCACGUAUCUUGGGUGGUUUUCUAAUAUUACUCUCGUAAUGAAAGUCUAUUAGUCGGAAAAAAACUACAACCACAUUCCACAUAUGACCAUAUGGCAGUCAAAUUCUUAAUAAUGCUAUUAAUUAUAAUAUUGAAAAUAAUAACAACAACACAAUAAAGAAUAGUCUUUUCAUGUAGGUUAUGUAUAGUCUAAAUUGUAAAGGGUUAGGAUGUCAAUUUUAUAAAGACAGGGACAAUAAUGGUGUAUGUUAAUGUAAGGAGAAAAAGAUACAUAUAAUUCACAAGAAGAGACACGUAAAAGUUAUAUAUAUUAUAUAUUAUAUAUUUGUUCAAUAUAGAACACGACACACACACAUCGUUGUUCAAUAUGUACACAUCUUUAUGUUCGUUUCAUUGAAAUAGCAACAUGUCCAGAGAAAAAAAAAAAAAAAAAAAGAUUUUUCCAAUGCACUAAGUAACCAGACGAAGCAACAAAGACUAGUAUUUUGCAUAGUUUGGGGCGGCUUCGUUCAAUUGUAUUAGGUAAGUGAAAAUGCGGUUCCAUUAAAUUUACUCUCUCCACUUGGAGAACAUUUAUAAUAGACAUGCAUGCAGCUUAAUAAUUUAUGCAACUAUUUCAACUAUAGUACAUAUAUUGACGACUAGGCUACGAAAAGGAAAUCUCGACUUAAUUAUAUAGGAAAGGGCUUCAUUUUUUGGUUAGAUUACUAAUAAAACCUUGUGGUUUCAUCUAUUACCACAUAAUCUCCCUAAUGUUUUAAAAUUCCAUGGUUUCAUAUAAAGGAAUUUUAACGAAGUAGUCUAUGCAAUAUCGUUUGUUGAAGUACCAACAGAACCCUUAUUUAAAUACUAAACCAAAUGAUGACUUAACCACCUUAUACAAAAUAUAGAAUGAUUACGAGGAUGAACGUAAAAAUUAUAGGAGGAUAAAGUGAAUAUUUAUGUGAACUACAGGGAUUUAAAUAGAUAUUAUGAUUUCAUCACACGUACUUUUGGAGCACGUAUGGUUAUUUUUGUCGUAAUUGAUUAUGCAUUACAGUCAUUUUUCACAUUACAUAAAAUCACAGAGAGUUAUGUGACUAUUUUGAAAACUUUAAGGAGGUCAUUUGGCAUUAUAAAAGACUACAAGGAGAUUAUGUAUAAUUUACCCUUUUCUUUAUGCUUUUUGUCUGGCAAAUUAUUCUUUAAUCCUAUGAUUAAUUAUUUGCAUUAAUCUACUUUUUAUUAAACUUUUGAACUGUGUACUUUGAUGUACUCGUGUAUGCAACGCGAUUCGACAUUUUCUUAUUUGAUUUUUUGCCGACAGUGAAUUUUUCUAAUAUAACAAUUGAACAUGUUAAUUAGUUUCUAUAAAAUGGAUUAUAUUCUUAUUACAUUAGUGCAUUUGAUAUCAACCUAAUUGUAUCCCUCAAGGUGCAGCAGUAUACUUCUUUUCCUAUUUGUUUUACAUCUAUACAUAUAGAAUUAGAAAGAUUAUUGCAAACAUUGGCCAUUCUGGUCGGCCUUGGAAUUAUAGAUCAAGUUCAAACACAUAAUUCGUUGAUACCGUUGAAUCCCAGCCUGCAUUUCACCAAAUCUCUUCCACUAAAAAAAAAGGUAAAAAUUUUAAAAAUUAAAAUAAAAUGGUUUCUUCCACUAAUUUCUCUCUCUCUCUCUCUCUCUCUCUCUCUCUCUCUCUCUAUAUAUAUAUAUAUAUAUAUAUAUAUAUAUCUGAUCUGUACAUAUAGAAUUGGAAGAUUGUUGCAACAUGGCCAUUUUGGUUGGCCUGUGGAAUUGUUGAGCUCAGACACGUAUUUUGUUGAUAGCAUUGAAUUCCAGCCUGCAUUUCCACCAUAAUAAAUAAGAAACCAAUUAGUGAAAAAAAAAAAAGAGUUUCUUUCGACUAUCUCCCUCUUACUCUUGUUAUCUUGCUAUUCAGGCAAAUUCAUUGAAUGGAAUAAGUAAUUUACAGUGCUUUGAAGAAUAUAUUAACUUUUAUACUCGAGCAUGAAAGGCAUAACUAAAAGAACAACCUAAUUCUUUUGUCCAACUUACAAAAUUGAUUUAAUAAAUCUAUAGUUUUAUGUAUGGAUAACUUUUCUAUCUAAUAUCAGUGUAAAUUUUUUUUUUUUUUUAACAAUAAUAGCUUCAAAUCAUGUUACAUAACAUAAAUUCAAAUCAUAUGCAUAUAACAUCCAUCCAAAAACUACUUGUAUAAAAAAUCACUGCACUGUCGGUGUAUAAAAAGUUAAUUAUUUAUGUAUAUUGUUAUGGACUUGAUGAGCAAUUGCUGAAGUUCGUAAUGUAGAUUUUCAAUUCCUAUACAUGUAAAGCUUCCCGGAGCGGUGAAUAUGGCUAAAAACCCUCGAGUCUUGUCACAUUUUAGUUUGAAGUUGGUUCUCAAUUGGUUUCCAAUAUAAACACUCUUUUGUUAUGGUUUGUCAAUUCUUGGUAUAUGAUCUAGGUAAUUAGUAGGUUCGAUCAAUUUCCACUUUUUUUUUUUAAAUAAAAGGAACGUAUUAGGCCAGAAUACUUGAGUAUAUAUGCAUAAAAUAACUUGUAGUGGAAUUUUUUAACAUUUUUAGAUAUAUAUAGAUGAACUAUAGCCAGUAAAAGUCAGAGAAAAACUAUUGCACCUCCCCACACUCUAGUUUACGCAACCAUAUAGACCUAUUAAAAAAUGACUAAUGAUAGAUGAAUAGUAAAAGCUUGAAUUCAUAUCUAAAGUUCCCUCCCUAUUUUUCAAUGACUAAAUUGAUGAUCCAAUAUCUUUAAUUACAAGAUUGGAAUUCGAAGUCUAGAUGUCACUUACAAUGAAUAAGAUUUAUUUUCGUCACAUCUCUCAAACAAUUUAAAUUAAAAGAAAAGUUCUCAAAACCAUCUUAACUUAUAAGAUAUAUUAGGCGUGUGAUUGUGAAAUCUCUGAUUCUGACUUUCAAAUUCUUCCAUUUUUCUGGGUAAGAUUUAAAGUCUCCUUUGAACCAAAAAAUAGGGAAAAAUGGAAAGUGCUCAAACCAUCAAAUAAUAUAGAAGAGAAACACAUGCCAUUACUUAAUCCUCUUCUGGACCAAUGGCAGAGCCAAAAAAAAGUUAUGCUCGGUAAUAUCAAACAGGAGUUUAUGCUUUUGGUGAAUCAUGGAAACCUUCUCCUUUUUCAGCACAUAUGAUGGUUAUAGUUUGAAGAAAUCCUGAUAAGUAGCCAAAUAUCUCUAUUAACUCUUCUCUAAUGAUUGAAAAGUAAACGCAUGUAUCAUCAAGUAGCUCUGAUCAGAAGUUAUAAGCUGCAUAAUACAACUGACAAUUCACCAAAAUCACCAAAAGGUAACUUUGAAGAAUUUUGCAGUGGAAGAACAAAACCACAGAACAACUCAAAUGCUUAUCCAAAACACAUAAACCUUUCGUCCUUAAUUUUGCCAAGAUUUUGCAAUACAUUCAAGUACAGUUUGCUCUGGUAGUGGUGACAGGUGAGGAUAUCCUAAAAGUUCAAGAGAUUGGAGUUUGGCUUGACAUUAUUGUGGAAGCUGAAAAAGUGAUGCGAUGUAAUUGCAAAGAAAUGUUAGAGAACUUGGACACCGUCCCAUUUUAUUGACCAACCAAAAACAAGAGAACAAACUAAAACAUUUAGCCUAUUUUUUUUAAUCCUCUUUCUCUUGCAAAUUAGACUUAUAAUCCUGAGUUUAGUUAUUUGCAUUAAUCUACUUCUAUUAAACUUUUAAGUGGUGUCGUUUGAUGUACUUGUACUCUAUGCAACGGCGGUUCGGCGUUUUUUUAUUUGAUUUUUUACCAACAGUGAAUUUUUCAAACAUAACAAUCGAACAUGUUAAUUAUUUUUCUCUAAAAUGGAUUCGUGAAAAAAAAAAUUGAGAUUUUUUCGACUAUAUCUCUCUUUGUUUUUUGUUAUCUAGCCAUUCAGGCAGAUCCGUACGUUGAAUGGAAUAACUAAUUUACAGUGCCUUGAAAAGAAUAGUGCCUUUCAUUCUGGACCAUGAAAAUGUUGUUAAUCAAAUUUUAAAAGAAUAACUAAAAGAACAACCUAAUUCUUUGGCCAGCUUACAAAAUGAUUAAUAAGUGCUAUAUUAUAUAUGUUAUUAUCUGCAGCCGAGAUUAUGGGCAUGAUGCAAUUGUUCAGUUACGUAAUUAAUGUAGAUGUUCAAUUUCUAUAAACGUCUAGAAUAACAUUUUAGUUUGAAAUUGGUCCUCCAUUGGUUUCCACUCUAAAUUUUCUUUUGUUAUGGUUUGACAAUUCUGGUUAUAUUGAUCUUGGUUAGUAGGUUGAUCAAUUACCACUCAGAAAAAAUAAUAAUAAGGUACGUAUUUGGCCAGAGUACUUACUUAUAUAUGUGAUAAAAUAAAUUGUAGGAAUAUUGUCUAACAUCUCCAGUUAUAUAUGGACAUGGACGAACUAUAGCCAGUAAAUUGAAGUCAGAGAAAACAGAUUGAUAGACAUAUCUAUCAAUAUACCCACACUCUAGUUCACCUAACUAACCUAACCAUAUACCCACUAAAAGAAAAAUUAUUGAUAGGUAAAUGGCAAAAGCUUGAAUUCAUCUUUUAAAUCCCCUCCCAAUUCUUCAAGCACAAAACAGAUUAUCCAACUUUUAAACUUAAAUCACAAGAUUGCAAUUAGCAGUCAAGGUGUCAAUUACAAUGAAUAAGAUUUAUUUGGUCACAUCUUUCAAGCAAUAUAAACUAAAGGAAAAAGUCCCCAAGAUCUGAAAUUCCAUGAAAUUACCAUGAAAUUCCUGUUCGGUAUUCAAAUCUUCCCAUUUGCCCUUUCUCCUUUGUAAGGUUUGAAAUCUCUUUCGAACCAAAAAAGGAAUCGAUCAAUAAGGGAACAAAGAACAGCAAAAACAGCUAUGCUCUCUGCUGAUAUCAAACAGGAGUUUAUGCAUUUUGGAGAAUCAUGGAAACAUUCUCCUUUCCAGCAUAUAUGAUGGUUAUAGUUCGCAGAAAUCUGGUAAGUAGCCAAAUAUUUUUAUUCAACUCUUCUCUAAUGAUUGAAAAGUAAACUUAUGGAUCAUCAAGUAGCUCUCAUCAAAAGCUAUAAGCUGCAUGAUACCCUGAAAAUUCACUAAGAUCACCAAAGGUAACUUUGAGAAACAGAACCUAAGAACAACAUCAAAUGCUCAUGUAGAAUACACACAAUUUUGGUCCUUAUGCCAUUAAUCCUUUCAAGAUUCAGCAAUACAUUAAACCACCAAGUAAAGUUUGGUCUAGUAGUGGCAACAGGUGAGAACAUCCUAAAAGUUCAAAGAGAAUGAAGAUUACAGUUUGGUUUGACAUUGUUGUGGAAGCUAAAAUGUAAUGUGAUGUGAACGCAAGGAAAUGUUGCAGCCAUUUUAUUGACCAGCCAAGAAAGAGAACAAACUAAAACAUUAAGGACAUAAGAGAAAGGCUAGAUACUCUUACUCCCAACAUGUAGAGUUAUUUGAAGAAUAUAUUACUGUAUGAUCGCUGCUAAUGCUAUCUUUAUUUUAAAAAGAUUAAUAUUAGAAGAAUUUCAAAUCAAAGAAAGGCUAAUGCUAUCUUUAUGCAAAUUUUCCUUUCGUCACUUGAUUUUCGUAAAAUUUUAUGUAACAAAUCACAAGUACAAGAAGUUUGGUACUCACAAGCUCCAUUUUAGUCCAUUUCAGUCCAUUUCAGGGUGGAAUAGUCAUUUUAUAAAUAUUCUUACAUCAUAAUCCAACUCGUUUAUACCCUUAGCUAAAUUUAAUCAUUUGUUUCCUUAUCCUUUUUUAUGGACUGGAUUGAGGUGUCCUCUUCCCCGCCUCUUCCUCCUCCCCUUAGGUUUUGUUAGUUUCCGGUUCUGAUAUGACCUCCAACCUUAUUAUUCGUCCAAGUGGUUAAGAAUUUGUGUUUUGUGUUUGGAGGUGUUUUUAGAAAAAAAUUUUAGUUCCAACCUUAUUGAAAAAAGUGCAUACGACGUAAAGAGGUAAUUAAAGAACUGUCUUACAAGAUUUUCAUAACCAAGCAGGAGGCGAGGAAGGUCAAAAGCAUCUUGGAAAUGUACGGUCAAGCAUUAGGGCAGGUGGUAAAUUUCGACAAAUCAGCUAUUUUCUAUAGCAAGAAUACUACUGACCAGAGGAAGAAUGAGGUGAUGGAGAAUUGGGGAACAUUAAAGAGGCAAGGAAUGGAACUUAUUUGGGACUCCCAAUGGCAAUUGGAAGAUCUAAGACAGGUUUUUUGCAUUUGUAAAGAGCAAAAUCAACAACAAGCUGCAAGGUUGGAAACAAAACUACUGAGUCAAGGGGUAAAGAGAUUCUCAUCAAAUCAGUGAUUAUAGACAUGCCAACAUAUGUGAUGGCCUGUUUUAGACUCCAAGAGUUUUGUGCAGACAAAUCACAGGUCAAAUAGCGAGAUUCUGGUGGGGGAAGGGAGAACAAGACACCUGUGUACAUUGGGCUAGUUGGAAGAAGCUAUCACAAGCAUGGUUCGAAGUCUCGGCCGAGACCGAGACGACUCGGCCGAGUCGUCACCGUCUCGGCCCUACGAUACGAUACCGUGACGAACGAUACCGAAAUACUUGACUCGCCGAGAAAUCGGUCGAGUCGUCACGUAACGGAUUGACUCGGCGAGUCACACGAGUCCUCCGAGUUAUCCGAGUCAAGACGAGAAAUCAGCCGAGUCACACCGUGACGGAUUGACUUGGCCGUUUUUUUACUAUUUUUUAAUUAUUUUAUUUAGCAUACUUUUUUAUAUUAUUAAUAAUUUUAGAAUAUUAAAUACUUUAAAAUUUACGUCUCACCGAAACCGCGACCGAUAUGCCGAGACCGAUGUGGAACGUUCCGGGCCGCGACACACCGCGACCGUGACUUUGAACCAUGAUCACAAGUGAAGGAAGAGGGGGAAUAGGUUUUAGAGAUUUAGAGGCUUUCAACUCAGCCUUGCUGGUAAGCAAAUUUGGAGAUUUUAACAGCUCCAAAUUUGCUAGUAAGCAAGGUAAUGAAGGCAAAGUACAUGAAGGACGCAAUUGGAUGGAAAAAAAUCCCUCCACUCAGCUUCAUGGUGUUGGAGAGCAUCCAGAGUGCAACAUCACUGCUGUUAGCUGGACUUUGGAAAAGAAUUGGGACGGCUGGUCUGUGCGUAUAUAGGGUGACAGAUGGAUAGCUUGGUUCAGAAAAUGGCUUUGUAUCAGACACAAAACCUGUGGAAUGCAAGUUGGAAUGGGUAAACGAGCUGAUAGAAGAAGGAAGUGGAAAAACUGAACUUAUCCACAAGUGGUUUAGUACAAAGAUGCUGAGCUCAUCAAAGCCAUCCCAACAAGCAUGGAAGAAGAAAGGAUAAGCUGGUUUGGAGCCAUUCCAAAUCAGGAAUAUACACUGUAAAGACGGGUUAUGCGGUAGCACGACAACAGGAAGUCAAACCAGGUAGUAAGAGAGGUCAUGAUGCAGAGACAAGUUGGGAGAUACGAAAACACAGUGUGUGGAAGAAGUUAUGGCACAUGAAGGUGAAGGCAAAACUAAACAGUUCAUGUGGAAAUGCUUGCAAAACUGUCUACCUGUCAACGAAUUGCUGUCAAAAGCUAGGAAGAGGAGAAGGAAGAUGUGGCUGCUGUGAAGAAGACAUGGAAACCAUUGAGCAUCUGUUUUUCUUCUGUGAAAAUGCAGUGGAAGGAUGGAAGUUGGCACGGUAAGAUGGGAUGGGUUACAUGAAAAACACAGAAUUUUUGGAUUUGGUGGAGAAAGUUACCCAAACGCUUUCAAUGAAUCAAGGUCAAGAUAGAGUAAGUCUCACAUUAUAUCCUCUGGCAAAUCUGGAAAGCCAGGAACAAAAAAAUCUUUGAACAGGCAAACCAGGAUCCAUUCAAAACGGUACGGAAGCACAAGAUGAGUGGUAGAGUUUGAACAGGAAAGGGAGCCAGAACAGAAGGUGAGAGAGGGAGGAUGAACAAAGACAUAUCCACCAAUAGGGAGCGGCCAAGGAAGGAAGAGAUAAAUUGUAUACAGAUGCGGCUAUAUCAGCAAAAAGAGUUAGGACAGGACAAGGGAUAAUAGCAAGGAAUUGGAAAGGAUAGAUAAUGAAAGCUAAAGAAUUGUCAACAGGGGAAGGGGACAGCAAGCAAAGAAGAAGCUCUUGCCAUAAGAAGUGCUCUACUGAUGGCUAAACAGCAGGAUGGACAAAAUUAUAAUCCAUACAGACUGCAAAUCAGUGGUUGAGCAGAUCAAUAGAUGCAGUGAGUAUGACUACAGUACUGCAACUAUCUUAGAAGACGUACAGGAACUUAGUUUAGGCUUUGAAAGAUGUUCUUUUGUGUUUAUCCCUAGAACUGAAAAUCAAAUCAGCCAUGACUAGCACAAUAUGCAGUAAAGCUAAUACAUGAUAUUGACUGGGAGAUGAUUUCCCAAUAUGGCUGACUGACUUAGUUAAGAAGGAUAUGAGGGUAGUAUCCCUUUUUGUAACUAAUCCUUGUAAGGUCAAGUGUUGAUAUCUAUAAAUUGUUAUCGUUUGUUCGAAAAAAAGUAAUCCCUUGUUUCUACGGACUCUAAUAGAUUUCCAUACAAAAUGGGACAAGUGACGUGUAUCAAUACACUCUAUCUAGUUUACCCUGGCAACUAGGGGUCUUAAAAUCGAGUCAACCUCGAAUAGUGCACUACUCGAACUCAACUCGAGAUAAAAAUAAUUGAGCUCGAACUCGUCAAAGCUUUUAGAGGUUGAGGUCAAAUUCGAGCUCGACUUUAGUUUAUCGUACUUGAAUUUGAACUCGAAUUUAAUUAAAUCUAAUCGAGUCAAAUCAACUCAAUCGAGUCUAUUCUAGUGUAAUCGAGAUUAAUUGAAUGUUCAAGUCUAAUCAAUCAUGUAAUAAAAAUUAAUAUUUACGUAUAAUUUUAAUAAAGGAUAUUAUUAAAUUUUACAAUAUAAUAUAAAAAGAUUAAAUAUAUAUAUAUACUCCUUCCGUCCCACUUUGAUAGUCCUGUAUUCCUUUUUCAUCUGUCCAAAUUGUAGUCCACUUUCCAAUUAAAGAAUGUAGUUGUAUUUUAAUUUCCCUAAAAUACCCUUAUUCAAUGUAAGUAGUUGUUACUAUAAACCUACCCGAAAGUUGAUUCGUUUUUUACCAUCAAUUCAAAUUCUCAUAAAGUUGUACCAUAUUUAAUGUGAGGGUAUUUUAAGAAAAUAGCAAUCUAAAUUUACUUUUCCAACAAGUUAACUAUUUUUUCUUAAACUGUGUGAAAAAAGAAACAGAACUAUCAAAGUGGGACGGAGGGAGUAUAUUAUAAUAUUGGAACUUGAGCUCGACUCGUAAACUUAAACAAGAAGCUCAAACUCGAGUUCAAAUUCGGUCAAAAUGAAUUUGAGUCAAACUGUUGACCCAAUAGCUGGCGAGCUCGAGUCGAGUUACUUGACUCAGCGUCUGCGUCACCCUACUUGCAACAACGCACCUCCUAUAGAAUUGUUGGUAUAUCCAUGCAUUCUUUGCAGUCCUCUCCCUAUUUUUCAAUGACGAAACACUGAAACAGAUAAUCCGAUUUUUUAUCUUGAAUUUCAAGAUCACAACUAACUUUUAAGAUGCCAACAACAAUAGACAAGAUUCAGUUUUCUUACUUGGGUGUGUUUAGAUUGAAAUGUUUUGAGAUAAAAUAAUUUGUUUCACAAAUUCUAAUAAUCUUUUUAUCAUCUCAAUCACCUUUUUAUUUCACAUACAUCAUAUCAUAAAAAAUGCUCCAGUAAUUAUUUCAAAUAAAUCAUCCAAAUAAACUCUUAUCCAAACAAACUCAAAUUGCCUUAUCUACAACAAGGAAUCUUGAAGUUUUAAUUGAAAAAAUGCAGGUCCUCAAAGGAAAGAGAAACAAACAAUUGACUUCCGGAAAAAUGGCACAGCCAAAACAGUGAUGACCUCUGUCUUACUGGUCAUCAAUAAGCAGAAUACACGAACGCUAGGAAUCUGGUAAGCACCAUAUUCUGUGGUCAUGUAUCCAUCCUUGGCAAAAAAUUUACAAGCACGGAUUUUAAACUUCACCGCGGCUCAUACGCAAGAAUAGAGGUAGGAGGAAAAAACCAUAUAAAAUAUAUCAAACAGAACAUAAGGUUUUUGCACCACCGCAAAACUUCAGAGUCUUAAUUUUCAACACGGAGAAAGGCUUGGGGAUUAUCAAUUAAUUGCAUAGAGUGAGCAAAAUGCAAAAGCAGGGGAGCUAACUGAACUGUAGGAAUGGAAUUUAAUAACUAGUACUUCCAUCAGUAAAAAAUACAAGUUCAAGAUCACUAAUCAAAGU
Molecule: long non-coding RNA, 49473 nt
Filed under: Coffea arabica (coffee)
Lineage: Eukaryota; Viridiplantae; Streptophyta; Magnoliopsida; Gentianales; Rubiaceae
Description: long non-coding RNA (CARA_LNC008269)
Source: RNAcentral